Molecule: long non-coding RNA, 82767 nt
Filed under: Coffea arabica (coffee)
Lineage: Eukaryota; Viridiplantae; Streptophyta; Magnoliopsida; Gentianales; Rubiaceae
Description: long non-coding RNA (CARA_LNC007845)
Source: RNAcentral
CGCAGAUUCCAAGUAGCUUCCUUAAUUUCUGAAACGUGGAUAACUUCAAUGGCUUGGUCAUUAUGUCAGCAAUCUGAUCUUCACUUUUGCAGUAGAGAAAAUCAAUUAUUGCAUCCUUUGUGAGCUCCCUUAGAAAGUGAAACCUCACGUCUAUGUGCUUGGUUCUUCCAUAUAGAACUGGAUUUUUAGAGAGAUUGAUGGCAGAACUGUUGUCACAAUAAAUUGUAGUAGCUCCUUCUUGCUAAAAAUGUAACUCUUCAAGAAUAUUCCUUAGCCAAAUUGCUUGACAGGCACAGACUGUUACAGCUACGUACUCUGCUUCAGUUGUUGAUAACGUAACAAUUGGUUGCUUUUUUGAACGCCAUGAAAUUGCUGCUGAACCCAUCAUGAAUACAUAUCCAUACGUACUUUUUUUAUCAUCAGAAUCGCCUGCAUAGUCACUGUCAGUAAAUCCAAACAAAUCUGAUUUUUCACCAUUCUUGUAAAAUAAUCCAUACUCAAUGGUUCUCUGUAAGUAUCGAAGAAUCCUCUUAGCAGCUAGAAGAUGUGUCUCUCUUGGACUUUCCAUGUAUCUACUAAUAAGGCUUACAGCAUGCAUAAUAUCAGGCCUAGUUGCUGUCAAAUACAUCAAACUUCCCACAAUUUGCUUGUAAAGGGUGCUAUCAACCCUCUUCCUCUUGGUUCUUUGAUGAGUUUUAAACCCACUUCAACUGGCGUACUAACAUAAUUACAAUUCGACAUUUGAAAUCUAUUCAGAAUUUCUUGCACAUAUUUUCUUUGAGAGACAAAAAUUCCAUCAGCAGAUUGCACCACUUCAAUGCCCAAAAAAUAAUGCAUCUUUCCAAGGUCAGACAUAUCAAAUUCGGCCAUCAUAGAUUUCUUGAAUUUCUCAAACAUGGCACUAUCAUUUCCAGUAAAAAUAAGAUCAUCAACAUAUAAGCACACAAUCAGCAAUUUACCUCCAUCUCCAAUUUUUAUGAAAAGUGUAUGCUCAUAUGGACAUUUCUUAAAUCCCUCCUUAGAAAAAUAAGCAUUUAUACGACUAUACCAAGCACGUGGGGCUUGUUUUAACCCGUAUAAUGCUUUCUUGAGUUUGUACACCUUAUGUUCACUUCCAACCUUCACAUAACCAGAAGGUUGAUCAAUAAAUACCUGUUCCUGUAAAUCACCAUGUAAAAAUGCUGAUUUCACAUCCAACUGGAAGAUAGGCCAUGAAUUUUGUGCUGCCAAUGCAAUUACCAUCCUAAUUGUGUCAUGCCUUGCGACUAGAGCAAAGACUUCUCCAUAAUCCACCCCAAACUCUUGCUUAUAACCUUUAGCUACCAGACGUGCCUUGUACUUGUCAACUUCUCCAUUCUCCUUUAAUUUCAUUUUGUACACCCACUUGACACCUAUAGAUUUUUGUCCUUCUGGAAGAUUGGUUAAUUUUCAUGUGUUAUUUCGUUCAAUAGCCGCAAUUUCUUCAUCCAUUGCUUUCUGCCACUUCAAAUCUUUGAUAGUCUCUUCAAAAACUGUAGGAUUACAAUCGGAAAAUAGUGCAAAAUAUGUAAGUGGGUCUUCGGAUUGAUCAAUUCCAGUUACCUCAUAAUCAAUCAUCCAUGCAGGUCUUUUUCUAAUACAUUGAGGCCGUCCUUCAUCUUUUGCUACUAUUUGGGAAUUUGAUACAUCAUCUGGACCAUUUGGUGGAAUUUGUUCUGUCAACUGCUGCCUGUUUUCUUCAUCAACUCCAUCAAAAUCAACGGGUAUUUGUUAUUUAAUAAUAUUGCUGCUCCAUGGCCAAAAAUUUUCCUCAUAAAAAAUUACACCCCGACUGAUGACAAUUUUCUUGGUGAUAGGAUUAUAAAGCUUAUAAGCUUUUGACUGAUUACUAACACCAAGAAAAAUGCAUUUCUCCCCCUUAUUAUCUAGCUUUGUCCUCUUUUGCUCUGGAACAUGAGCAUAUGUAAUGCAUCCAAAAAUUUUGAAAUGAUCCACUGUUGGUUUUCGUCUGCUCCAUGCUUCCUCAGGCGUCAUAUUUUUAACAGCAAGUGCGGGACUUCUGUUCAAUAUAUGAAUACUCCAGUUGACAGCUUCAGGUCAAAAAUUUUUUGAAACACCACUUUUUGUCAAAAUGCUCCUCACCAUGUUCAAUAUUGUACGAUUCUUCCUCUCUGAAACCCCAUUCUGCUGUGGCGUAUAAGCUGCUACAAGUUGCUUCUGAAUUCCAUGCUCCUCACAAAAAUUUAUAUUAUACUCUCUACAACGAUUACUGCGGAAAAAUUUUAUGGAUUUGCCUGCUUCCUUUUCGACAAGAGUCAUGAAGUUUUUGAACGUUGAAAAUGCUUCAGAUUUUUCCUGUAAAAAACAGACCCAAGUUUUCCGACUAUAAUCAUCAGUAAACGUCAUAAAAUAACGUUUUUCACCAUUAGAUGACGGAUUUAUAGGUCCACAUAAAUUAGAGUGAACCAAGCUCCAAGACGUUUUUUGCUCUCCAUGAUUUUCCUUUUGAGAAGCUAUCCCGAUGUUGUUUGCCAACAACACACUUUUCACAAACUUCUAAAGGAGUUGUGAUUUGAGGUAAACCAACUACCAUAUUUUUCUGUUGCAAAUUUUUCAAUCCACCAAAAUUCAAAUGGCCAUAACGAAAAUGCCAUAACCAUGCCACAUCUUUCGAUUUUGCCGAGAAACAUGAAUGAGUCAAGUUUAGCAAAUAGAGUGGGAACAUACGAUUUGCGGUCAUCUUAACUUGAGCAAUUAAGCCCAACUUUGCAUCUCGAAUCUGACAUACACCAUCUUUGAUAAAAAUCUCGUACCCGUUUUCGAGCAACUAGCCCACGCUAAGCAAAUUUGUCUUUAAGUUUAGAACAAGAAGAACAUCAGUAAUAGUGUGGGUAGAAGAAUUUCCUUUGGUUUGGAUAAUUACCCUUCCUUUUCCCAUAACAGAAAUUGUAGAGUUAUCACCAAACUUGGCAGUACUACGGAAUUACUAGUCCAACUCAGAGAAUGCCUUCUUAUCUCAACACAUGUGAUUGCUGCAACUGGUGUCUAAAUACCACAUGUUUUGUUGAGUUUCUUCACUAAUGUGACACACCAUCAAAAGAGAUACUUCUUCUUCUUUUUCUGCAAAAUUAGUCCUUUCUCCAUUUUGUCUAUUUAAAUUAGUUCGACAUUCGGACUGAUAAUGGCCAUACCUAUGACAUUUGUACCAUUCAAUAUUGGACUUGUCUGCUGAUUUUGGCCUUUGAGUUGUUGAUGGAUAGCCUUCUCGUCCUCUUCUUUUUCCUUGAAAUUGAUUUCCUGGUGUUGGUAUUGUUGUUGUUGGUUGCCACGAUCAUUAUUUCCUCUAUCUCUGCCUCUGCCUCCUCUCCAUGUUGAGUGACUUUCUACUGAAGCCUUCAGUGCUUGCUCCUCUUUCUCUUGCUAGUUAAUUUUUUGCUCAUGAACCAACAAAGAACUCUGCAACUCAUCAAUUGAAAUUGCAUCAAUAUCUUUCGAUUCCUCUAUACAGCAUACAACAAAAUUAAAUUUUGUUGUCAUCGAUCGAAGAAUCUUCUCGACAAUGGUGAUGUCCUCCAAAUUUUCUCCAUGGAUCCUCAUCUUGUUAGCGAUUGCCAUCGUUCUUGCGAAAUAAUCAGUGACCGAUUCGCUUGACUUCAUGUGUAAAGUCUCAAAUUUGGUCCGAAGAGCUUGAAGCUGCACCCACUUCGCCUUUGCAUUUCCUUGAUACUUUUUCUUCAUGGAGUCCCAAAUUUGUUUGGAGGUAUCUUUGCUAAGAAUUGUCUCCAAAAUGGCUCGAUCAAUAGCUUGAAACAGAUAAUUCUUGGCUUUAAGAUCUUUCAGCUUCAAUACUUCCAACUCCAUUUUCUGCACCUCUGGCAAUGUUACUCCGGUUGUUGGCUCUGCUACUCCAGAUUUGACAACCUGCCAAUACUCCUUGGAUCUCAAGAAGUUCUCCAUUAGCAUACUCCAAUGAUCAUAGUGACCAUCAAAACGAGGAAUUGCUGGUUGCACAAAAUUGUCGGUGGCCAUCCUAAUUUACCAACACAAUUCUCACAACUCACUUUUGUUUUCACUCACAAGCCUAGCUCUGAUGCCACUGUUACAAUUAUUGAGGCAAAUAAUAAGAAAGGUAAAAGACAAGUGUUUAUUUCUUUGUAAAACUGACAUUCCUCAUAACAUGAGAUUACUCUAUUUAUAGAGUUUAAACCAACUCCACUAACUAUCCCACUAACUCCACUAACUAUCUCAAUGACUCCACUAACUCCACUAACAACUUCACUAACUCCACUAGUUACUCCACUAAUUCCACUAGUUAUUCCACUAACUCCACUAAUUCCACUAACUCCAUAAAUAAAUAUGAUUAAUUAACAACGGUAAAUAUUUCUAACAAAUUGCCUACCAAAAAUGGGCCUAUUGAUGAUGAUGAAGGCCACAGCGAAUCUGAUUGGUCUUGGUUUUAUGCUGGAAUGGGACCGGGUUUUGCUGUCGGGCUCUUGGGAGUUCUAGGAGUCCUUCUCUUCAAGAAGUCAUGGCGCUAUGCAUACUUCAAGUUUAUAGAAAGUGCUGUGACAAAAUCUGGGUAAUGAUCGCAUUGAAGACUACUCACCUGAGGAGGAAUUUCUGUUGAGUAAGUUCCUAUAAAAGCACUUAUACUCUGUUUUUCAUUUUGCUCUUUGAAAAAUUUCACAUUUCUGUAGGCCUUCCUUCAUCUAACUUAUUCUUUUUACUUUUAUAUGUUGAUUGCAGAGGACUAAUUAGAACUUAACAUUGAUAAUUUGCAAAAUUAUUGUAAUUUGUAAUUUGUUUUCCAAAUAUUUCUAAAGAUUUUUUUUAUGCAUCCCAACUUGCCCAAUUCUAUCCAAUGGGAAAAUGAUAGAGCUUAAUAAGUUUUUUUUUUUCAAACAAAGAAUAACGUAGCAACUGUAACGUAAACUAGUAGGUGCCUGUUACCAAUUAACUAAACCAAGAUGAUUCUAACAUCAAAUCAAUAGCUUUCGAAGGAAUUUUUUUCCCAAUAAACUAUUAUGUGAUUGGAAACCAAGUAUUUCCUUUCCUUACCUUUUGAAAAUUUUGAUCCCAAAACCUUUCUCUCUUUCUACCAGCAAUUGUUUCAACUCUCUCAAAAGUUUGAAAUCUAAUAAUUCUCUUAUAUUAUUCAUACUUACAUUACACUUUCUUAUGUUUCAUUAAAAUCGAUAUUACAAGAAUCUCAUUGAUUUUUUUAUUUAUGACUGAUUAUAAAGAUAAUUAUUUUACUGUUAGCAUUUGAAAGGAAUAAAUAUUCGAUGCCGAACAAUUUAGAUUGUUUAUCUUGUUCACUGAUCUAAUUCUCUGUCAACGGUUUUAUGCUUCAGAAGAAUUCUAUAGUAAUUUAUGCUAAUAGUUGAUGUAGUUAUUUAAUUUCUAAUUAGUUUACAAUCUAGCUUUUCUCCCAAAAACUCUUACAAACUACUAAUUAAUGUUUUUAGGUGCUUUUGAACUAGUGAUUAUUCUAGAUGAAUAAAUUUUUAUAAUCAUGUAAUGCUGAUAUAUAUUUUGCCCUUCCUAGAUUAGUUUUCUACCUCCUCCACCACAGCAAGGAAUAAAGAUUUGGCAAUUUUUAUAUUUUAGACCAGACAAUAUUGACUUUUCAUAUAUCUCUUUUUUGUUUGCUGGUUAUAAAUGAAAUUGGCACUUGGCCAGAGAAAAUUUACUAAUAUUAGUACUUUGUUAUCUUCCAAUCUGAUAGGCCCACAAUCAUUCAAGUGCUUGCUGCUGCUGUUGUUUGGCUCUCAGAAUGAGCAAUUUCUUCUAUGUGAUUUGAGAAGCAGUUGUAGUUUUACUGUAUUUUUGUAUGAUUAUAUUUUGAGUGCUUGCUGUUUUUUAGUUUUGAUUGGCAUCUGCUGAUGUAAUAUGAAAAUUAGACCUCCUUUUAUUUGCUAUGAAUUGUAUGUCAAUAAAAGUUAUAAUAGUUUGCCUAAAAAAUUUUAUUAUUUUGUUUUGCCUGACAAGAGGCUUCCAUAAACUAAACAAAAUUAUGCAGAAUAAUUAAAACAAGAGACUCCAUGUUUUGCUGUUGGCUUUGCAAUUCCUUAGAAAUGCUGAAUUCUUGAUGGUUUGGUUAAUAAUGGAAAAUAGUAAGGUAAGCAAAAUGAUUUCCAGAAAAAUAGUUCUUAUGUUUUGGAUUAUCGAUUUGUCAAGGAAAAUAUGUAGCAAUACAGAAAUCAAUCUUGAAUUCACUUUAUUUGUUUUCAUUUCUCAAAUUUCACAAUUCAGUAGAACAUAAUUUGACUCCCAAUCUUUAACCAAAAUUGUCUUCACAAUUUCAAUGCCAUCUUCAACCCACUUGCUUUUGAUGCUCAUAAACGCAUUUAAAAGAAAAAAGGAGUUGCCCAAUAUCUUGUAUAAAAAUUAAACAGCUGAAUUGCUAAGUUUAAGACCCUAUUUACCUCAAAAUUUACUAUGAGCAUUUAUCAAUUGCUUUGAUUUUCCUAAAAUACGCUUUUCUAUCUACAAAAGCAAAGAAAAAAAUCAACCGUCAACUUCUUUAAAACUUCCCAUCGUAAACAGACUACGUUGUUGCGCCAUUGUAACAUUGUUUGAUCAAACAUAGUAACUAGAGAUUUUCUUACUUUAUUUUAUUUUUAUUGUAUUUUUCUAUUUUAAUGUAAGUAGAAAGUGUUGAAUCCAAGAUCUCUUAUUUGUACUUCGUUCCCGCUUACCAUCCAAUCCAUCCCUCCCCCUCUAACAACUAGAGAUUGUAAAAUUGUUUAAUAAAUGUAAUUACUCUUAAAUUAUGUUACUAAUUAUGUGCAAUUUAAUAUCAGAGGUUUUGCAAGUAUUUUCAAGAGUUUUUUUUUUGCCAAAUAGUUAUAAUUUGUGUUAAAAACAAUUAUCAUUAUUUGUUAUUCCAAUUUUGUCCUUACAUGACGAAGUAUUUUAUUGCCAUCUCAUCCUCGAAACCGUCCAUGUUGACAUACUUGCUACUUCUAAGUUCUGUACUUAUCCAACACUGCUAUAUAUAUCCAAGUCUUCCAGCUAACUUCAAUUAAAAAAAUCCCAUUAUUCUAUAAUUAAUUCUUUUGCUCUAACUAGUUUGUUAUUCUUUAAUUAAUUCUUUUGCCUCACCUAGUGAUCCUAAUAAUUGCACGAACUAGUAUGAACUAGACAAAAUUUGCUUCUUGUGAGGCCCGUUAUUCAACAUUUACAGGAGUUGCCAUUUUAUUAAUUUAUCGAUAGUAAUUAGUAAUAGAGAAGGACAAAAUCAUUACCUUAGUAGUUUUGACAUAGAGUUUUAGGGCCCGUGCAGUUGAAUGUAGAGGAGGAUUGUGUAGAGCCAUGUUCAGGUUGGGCCAAAAAAUCGACUCAUUAUGGUGAAAUGGAGCCGUAAAUUCAUGGGCCUGGAAUUCCAGAAAAUAUUCCAAAUCUUUAGUUGGUGGUUCAGCUGCAAAUCAUCUAAAGUCAAUUGCUGCCAUCCCCCAAUGAGCAGCGACUUCAAACCCAAUUGAGGAUUUUUUUUUUUUUUUUUGUUCAUGUACAACUGGAAGCUAAAAGGUAACUUUAUUCAAGUUCACCUAUAAAAAGCGAUUUUAGAACAUUGAUAUUUUGGUUUUUACUUUAACACCACAACCUAAGAACAUUGAUGUUUCCGCAAAUUCUUUUGACAAACAAUACCCAUUAUUUCUAUUUGUUACUAGCAUAAAAGUUCUUAGAAAUUAGAAAACAUUGAUGUUUAUACUCUAGAAUAUUGAUUUUUUUUUUCAAUUGUCACCUUUUGCAUUGAAUUUCCAAUUAUCAGGAUAAAUACGAACAACACAAUUAAAUUAGAGGGAGACUAUUGGAAAAAUGAGAAGUUCAAGGGUAAAUAUUUAAACAAUAUCACAAGGAUAAAGUGAAUAAAAAACGGGAAAAUUUUUGAAACUUCUUCUAAGAUCUCUGAAGAUUUCACCUAGCUCCCUUUUAAAUUCAACAAUUACGCUAACCACUCUAGUACUUAUUUUUUUUGGUAACAAGAUCUUUGAAAAGACACAAAUUUCACAUAAAAAUUCUAAAUUACCAUUCUUUUUUUUUUAAGAAUGGUAAUUAUGUUGCCUUAUAUUAUUCUCUCUACCACCAAAAUUCACCAACACUACCAUUUUUCUACCUCCACAACCACCACCAAGGUUACCUCUAUUACCACUAUCACAGGCCAGCAACCAGUGCCCAAAGGGAAAAUGAAAGUGAUAGAAAAUUCUCUAGUACUCUUUUCUUUCUACCACUAGAGCCAUCGCUAACAAUUUUAUCCCUGUUACUAAUAUGUUGAAAGACAAAAAUAAAAAACACGUAGAGAUGCUCCGGGAAUCCAUAAGCUGUAUGCUAUCAGCCAAAAGAAACCACGUCUUUUUCCAAACUAUGGCUUUUACAUCCACUUCUACAUUAAUUACCUUCAAUAAAAUCAUAUAACCAAAUCAACUAUUAAAAUUUGUUUUUUUUUUUCCAAUUUUGGCAAUUGUUUUGAGAUAUCACCGAAAUUAUCCAGAAAAGCACCAAGUGGGAAUCUUUUUCCUUAAAACCAAAUUUGUUUAAUAAACAUUCCUCCGGCGUAAGAAUUUCCGAUGCUGAGUCACGACUCACGAGUCACGACCAGACCCUCCCAGCACGUCAAGAACACAAGGGAUUGGCAAUUCUAUUAAAUUAGGAAUUAGCCCCUUGAGGUUGUUUAAUCAUAAUUUACCCCUGUUCUUUUGCAUCUUAAGUAGAUUGCUUUUCCUGUGUUGUCAUUAGGUAAAUACUUAAUCGUUUACUUGCAUAAAAAAAAAAAAGUUUACUUGCAUGACUGGCCAGGGAAACAAGAAAGCUAUAAAUUAUAAUCCACUAAACAAAAAUCUUGCAUCUAUAUAAAUAAAUAAAUUUAUUGAUGCAUAUUAUUAGCUGUAUUUCUUCAAUUAUCCAAGCCCAAGAAUUAAUAUGAGCAAGGAGAAGAAGGGUAUAAGGCCAGAGGUACCGAAACCAUUUGGAUGAAAUUUAAUUUGGUAACCCAAUCCGUAGUGGAAGGAAUUGUUGAAGAACUUGAGAUGGAAGAAGAAGAAGGAUGGUGGAAGAAACUAAAAUUAUUAAUAAAGACUACUUUGCGUUCGAGAAAAAGGAAAAGGACUAAAUGAGAAAAAAUGUGAGUUGGGCGACUAAAGAUACUUUAGCUAAGGUGUAAUUUUUUUUUAUGCACAGUCAAUAUAUGCACGAGUUGUAUUGGAUUAUGCCACAUAAUUUAAUUUUAAAUUUGAAAUUCAAUUUUUUCAAAAGUAGCAUACAUUUACAACUAUUAGUGUAAAAAAUAUUUACACUGACAGUGUACAAAAACUUAAUUCAUUAUUUGCCAAAUUCUUUUUUUUUUUUGGUAUUCAAAUUAUUUGAUUUGUUGUCAACUGUAUAGAAUUGAUGAAAAUUUGAAACUGUUAGGUCUAAAUAUGUCUUCAGGGAAACUUAAAAGAUGAAAAUGGUUCAAACCCCAAAAAAUAUUUGUUAUUCCCAUUUGACAAAUUUUCAAUUGGUUUGGUGAUUUUCUAUCAAACAUUUUAUAUUAAUUUAAAUUGCAAAAAAGAGGGUGGAAGUUCUGUGGUACCAUAAAUCUGUAAAUCAACCAACUGAUAGGGAAUGAACGUUUCCAUUAAUUGAAUCUAGAAUUGGUCUCCAAAGAUUUUUUUUCCCCCCACAAAACAUACAGAUUUUCCACGAAGUAUCAGGACUUUCAUUGAUGACCUAACUUAUUAUUCAAUAUAUUAACAAAAACCGUUCAAGACAGUUAACCUGACAACUACCCCUGUCCCAAGUCGUCGAUGGACUGGUCCAUACUGAUAAUUCUAAUGAAAAACAAAAUAUAUACAUCACUCGAGAGCAAGUGAUCAACUUUCCGUGAAGACUUUUAUGUAGUCGUCUUUAUCAGCAAUUUCUACUAGCAUUUAAACGAACCGCGCAUCUAGGGUGGGGUAGCUUUAUCAAAUAUCCAGUACCAAAAAACAUCCAAUGGGGCGUCUUCUUGGUAUUUAUUCGUGUUUAUUGCUACUGUUCUUAUUCAAGUCACCAGCCAACUCCCAUUUGGCAGCACUAACCAAGCUUAUCAUUAUUUAGAUCUUUACUGGUAUACUGUACAUGAAAAAAGUUAAAAUUUAUUAACAAAGUCAUUAAUUUUGUUUGAAAAAAUUGGAAGUUUUGAACAAAAAAUAGGAAGUUUCUUUGUGGUGAAAAUAGGAAGUUUCAGAUGGAUGAUGCAAAGCAGGUGGAACCCUCGCUGCAUCGCUCCCCAACUUCACGUCCCCUCCAAUACAAGCCUAUCUUGAUUCACCAAAGCCGCACAAAUAUGUCACACUGAAAGUGGAUGUUUAAUUUGGCCACAUACACUAAGCGUAGCCAGUUCUUAUUAUUUUGGUAAAAUAAAAUAUGUACCAGCGUGAAAGCAGAUAUUCUCCAACCAGAAUCAGACAUUAACAACUAAGCCUUCGGGACCCAUAAAGCUUAUAAGACGCCAUCAAGAAUCCAAGCAUCUUCUGUACCUUCUUUCCACAUUCCCCAUCUCCAUAUAACUCUUGGAUAACGGAUCAUACAUCUUGAAAUAAGAGUGUUUGUAACAUGAAAGACGACAUCACGGUGGAUAAAUAACUUCAUUUCGAACAGGUUAGAGCAGUUGUCCAAAAUGGAGAAAAUGCAUGACAGCGUAGUCUCAAAAUCAUGAAUCUCUAAACAUGCAGUAAUCUCUUUCAACCCCUUCAUCCGAGACCUAAUUUCAUCACCUUCAGGGCAAAUAUACAUCUCGAAAACUGACCAAGCCCGAGGGGUGAAAGUAAGAGAGCUGACAUUCGGGAAAACACUAAACAAGGACUCGAAACCAAACUUAGAUACUCUCAUUAGUUCAGAAGAUUUUGUUAAUGAUAUAGUAAAUUUUACUAAAAAAGUGGUAAGAUUUGUUAAUGAAGUCAUAAGUUUUUCUUGAAAGAUAGUAUGUUUUAUGUUAAAAAAAAUGCCGAGUUUUUGAAAAAAAAAAAAGGUAAUUUUAGCUAGAAAAAAUCCAGUAAGAUUUAAUAUUUAGAUAGCAAGUUACAUAAAUUAUAAAGGUUACUUGUUUUGUGCAAAAACUUACUAUCAGUUGCACCAAAUAUACUAUCACAAUUUUGUCCCCAUUGAAUUGCAAAUUAACUGCAAUCACCUCGAGUAUAUCGUAAUUUAACAAUAAAAUAGUGUAAUAAUCACAUUAGAAAUUAUGUGAUAAAAACUUAUGCAUUUUACCAAGUACUAGUACUUCAUCUAGAAGACAAUAUUCGUUUGAGUUAGAAUAAACCCAAAAAAAAAGGUGAGAGAUGUUCAAAAGUGCAGGAUGAGUAAUGAAUAGAUGGAAAAACUGAUAGUGGGAUAAAGUUAGACAGCACAGAGGUUAGACAACAAGGUAGUAAAAAAAGAAAAAGGCUGAGGAAAUGUUGUGUCAACAUGUCCUUGUAAUUACAAACUUUUGCAAUAUAAUUUAUAUUUUUGUUCACCUGCUGCAAGUCUACAACUCACAAGGAGUAUUAAAUCGAGGAAUAGUUUUGAAAAAGUAUUAAUAUUAUUUUGGAAUUUAACUUGAAAAAGAUAUAUAUAUAUAUAUAUAGUUAGCAUGGAUUCCCAUUUUCUCCAUUUAAACGUGAUAUCAAUCAGUCUACUGACAACCUAGUAAUAUAAUUAUGUCGUUGAAGAUCAGACUCUUGAUGGCUUAUCUAUGUGGCAUAUAAAGGCCAAGUUUUAGUUGACCGAAUUAAAUCCCUACUAAAAAUGCUGGUUUUACUGGAUUUUUCUUUGUUUAAUUUUCACCACAAAUAAAUUUGAGAUGCAGGUUGGAUGACAAGCUAUCAUCAGCUUAAGUCAAAUUUUGAAGCUAAUUCUGUGUCCAUUUAUACUCGUAAACUUUUCAAAGUCUUGUGGUUAACUUCCAUGGAUUAAGAUGAAUUGCAUUAUGCAAUAUUGCAGAGAAUCUCCACCUAAUUGGAGACUUUUCAAUUGUAGACAACUGAUACGUAAUUUUUUCUGUUGGCCAUACAUGGAUUGGUUUUUGGAUAGAAUUUUGAAUUUAACGUCAUUGUCCGAUAGGGUGGCUUGGCGCUAUUCUAAAAUGACCCAAAUAAUUGCUGACAUGAACAGAUCAUAAUUUGGUUGAGGUCCCUACAAUGAGUGAAAGUAUUGGACCACCAAACCUAUUAUUCUAACCCCUUUGAAAUGCCAUAUGUGGACGUCUUGAUCUUGGAGGCUAUACAUUUACGAAUUUUUCUUUGUUUUUCUUGGUUUGAUAUCUGCAUUCUAGGUUGUUGGUCUAUUCAUUUUUUUUAGCUUCUUCUUUUCUAUAAUUUAAAAGCCACUAAAAUAUUUUACUCAUGAAAAACUUUAUGAUGUCACAUUAGUGUCAAAGAAUGCCUUCGUUGAGAAAAAAAUAUAGAUUAGCUCAAAAAAGGUAAAUAAAGGAAUUUUAUACUUACAUGUUCUUUUGGAGAAACGAACAGAUAUCAUACAAAACUUUUUUGAUAAAGUUUCCAAAUCUAUACAAAACUCUUUUUUUUCGGUAACUAUCCAUCAUGCAAUGCAGACUAUUUUUUAAACAUUAAUUUUGUCCUUCAUGCUUCUUUUUUUUUCAAAGCAUUGUCCUUCGAGCUUUAGAUUUUGUUAUUCUCAUGGAAAACUAAUUCACUUGCUUCUUUAAUGUAAACCUAUCAAGUUUAUGAUAUUUGACAAAUUUUCAAUAGGUUUGGUGAUUUUGAGUAAAAAAUUUUUAAAUUGAUUUAGAUUGCAAAAGAGAGGAUCGUAAAUCAAAAAUUCAAUUUCACAACCAAUUGAUAGAGAAUCAAAAUUUUCAUUAAUUCAGUACAAAAUAUGCCUCUAAGGAUUUUGUCUACAAGAAAAUAAGAAUUUUUCGUGGUGGGUCACGACAUUCAUUGACGAGCGGACUUAGACCCAACACAUUGACCAAUUUUCUACCCAACUCGAAACGUUACAUGUGCCCGCCAAAGAUCUUGAUGGCUGUUUAUUUAGGAUUUCUUUGCUUCUUCUAAUUUUAAACGCGCAUUUGAAACUCUUGAUCUAUUUAUUCUUCUUUUAGCCUCAAACCUUUUUAUAGUUUAAGAACCACCAAAAUGUUUUGCUUAUUUAAAAGUUCAUCAAGUCAAAAAAAAAAACCAAAGCAAGGAAGUUCAUCAAGUCCCACGUAUUGUGUUAACACGGUUUUCACCAGAGAACGAGAUAUAAAUUCAUACAAAUAUUGCAAAGAGUUUUCAUGACAUAAAGUUUAAAUCUUUUUUACGUGUGUAAAUCGUCCAGUUUAAUGAAGAACAUUGCUGGAUGAUCUGCUUAGCAAAGAAUGUUCAUCCUACUUUGUAAAUUUUGGUUGGUUUAUUCUCGGAGAUGGACUAAUUCAACCAGCCAUUAAUUAAGUGGUCGUGCCAUUAAUUUUGAUACCAAUUGAUAAAGGAAAACAUCACUCUACAGACUUUCCAUGAAGACUUUCAGUCGUACUUAUUUUAUCUACAAUUUUCUUCAAACAUUUAUUACUUUAUAGAUGACCAAUACCAAAGUAACUUUUGUUAGGUCUGACCCAGAAAAUUGACAAAAUGAUUUUUGACAACCCCAAAAAAGACAAAUAACAAUACGAAAAUAAAUAAAAUAAGAAAACAGGAAUUUACAUAGUUCGAUUAAAUUGAUCGACGUCCACAGACGGAGGAGGAGCAAUAUUUUACUAUGAACAAGAGAGUAUAAAAAUGUUGACAGGAUGUCAAACCUGUGCAAUAAUAAAUACCUGCUCAAACAAAAUAUAAUUUCUGUAGAUAGUGAUAAGCAGGGUCGAAUCCACAGGAAUUAGGGAUAAUUUAUUUCUUUUAGAGUCCGAAGUAUGGGGGGUUUUUGGAGAAUAUAAAAUAACUAAUUAACUAACUAAUAAAACAACUAAUAGAUAUAAAUAGAAAUUAAUCAAUAACUAAUAUGACUCUAACCAAAGGUACAACUUUUCAGACACAGUCCAUGCAACUGAUCAUCGAUGCAAGAAUAAUUCAAUUACUCAUUAAUAGAUUGGUUAUAGUUGUCAUACACGCGAUGAACAACCAGUCUUUCCUUAAUUUCUCGAUAGUUAAGGUACGACCGUUAACUAUUUCCCUAACCAAGAAAUAACCCUAAGUACGACCAUAGGAUUUAAUUACCCGAUUGCACUAAUAAUUAGAAAAACCCAAUCCUAACCAACAAACGCGCUACGAGGGUUUGUUUAAGUUAGAUCAUACGUUUCCCUAACAUGAAACCAAUCACGCUAGUUGCCACUGGUAUUAACCAAUUGAACAAUUACGGAUUCAAUCAAUUAAUUUGGCAUUAGAUUAUUAAGUUAAUUCGAAUAUCGGGCCCUUGACAUUCAAAUAACAUAACAAGCAUAAGCAAUUAAAUCAGGAAACACACAAAUACCAAUAAAUAAAAUAAUUAGAUCUCACAGAUGUUCGAAACCGAGUUCUCAAAUUGACCUUCGACUAGGAAAACUUAGUCACGCCUCAUAAGAAAAUCUCCAAGCAAUUUAACUGAGGCCCUGGCCAUCAAAGGAACCAAGAAAGAAUAAAACUAAACUAUGCUAAAAAACUCUCCGUAGCCUUUCUUCCGGUUGUCCUUAUAUAGCCAAAAGGAAAUGACUAAAGCUAUCUAUCCAGUGGUCCCCACGAAUAAGGAACAAAAACAACUCUUUGCACGUUUGUUUCCUUUCAAUUCAAAUGACUAAUGCCUUUCUUCUCUCCGUGGUCCCCGCACAAAUUGAGAAAGGAGUGUACAUAAAGUGAAGUUCUCUGAAGUCCUUCUUUCUUUAGUUUCCUCUUGAUAGUCAAACACUUCAACACUCCAAGAUACUCCUAAUCCGCAAAAAAGAAAUGCAGUCCGCGUAUAUCACCAUGUGGGCCAGGUCUGUGGCUUAUUUGAAGUCUCAAUUAUCUUCAGAAAGUCCUUCCUUUUUUGUAGUUUUCUGCUUCACUCCCUGAAAUUGGGUCCAAUACCAAAUAUAAGUAAAUAUUAAUAAUUAAAACAAUAUUUGGCAAGAAUAAAAGGGGAAAUUAACAAUAAAAUUACUAACAAUUAACACCCUAUCAAUUCCCCCCACACCUAAAUCAUGCUUGCCCUCAAGCAUAAGAACAACACUUGAACACCAAAAUUUGACAAUGGCUAUUGCUCCAACUAUCAUAUUGCCAAAAUACCCAGAAAAACAUGUAUCACGCAUCACAAUUAAGAUCCAAGAAAGACCACUCCGGUUAGCUUCCCAACCACCAACUCCUCCAAUUUAAAGCAAACUAAUCUAAGAAAAAGGAAUGGUUGCUCACAUUUAUCAGUAAAUGGUCCAGCUAUUAACCAAAAUCUCGACAUUAAGAUCACAAACCGGCAAGCUGACUUAUUCACAUACUAGCACAAUCCUUUUUUUGUUCUUUUUUUUUUUAAUAACAAAAGACUUAGUCUAUAGCCCUUAGAGCCUUUUGACGCGAACUCCAACAUUUGCCAGAUGGAGGAGCCCGGUUACUCAGCUCCAAUUGCUACGAGACCACGCACUCAUAGCAACUACUACCUUUUGACACGAAAAUCAACACUUCAGGUGAAGAUCCCCGGUUACUCAGUAGUAACCACUAGCGGAGUACAGUCACUCUUAUUUGCAACCAUGUAGCACGAUAUCUAAAAGCAACACAAGAAUAACAGCAGCCAGCCUCAAAUUUCCAGACAUGGAGAACUAAAAUUAAUAACUGGACCAAUUCACAUGAAAAAUGCCAACAAUCAUUCCCUAUGCCUAGAAAAAUUAACCAAAAAUUGAAAAAGUUAAGCAAUUAUUGAUAUUCACCAAAGAGAUGUUCCUGAACUCAGCCACAUCAACUUGAUACCUUUUUAUUAAUAAAUUUGGCAAUAGCAGAAUUAGAGACAACAAUCCAGCAUCAAACUUGGUAUUCAUAUGAAGACUGACCACUAGAAAAAGAAAAGAAAAGAAAAUAAACGAAAAAGGAGAUAAAUAUCAAACUAAAACAAAGGAAAAACCUCUAGAACCUAAAAACUAAAAAUACUAGCACCCAAACUGACCCCCCCACACCUAAGUCACACAUUGCCCUCAAUGUGAUAAUGUAAAAAGCAGAAGAAAAGAGAGGGGCAACGGUACUUCCCUGAAGUCAUCAAAACAGGGGCGGUUCAGGUGGAAAUUGAGGAUCAAGGCCUGCAUGGGGCAUAAAUGCUGCCAAAUUCUGCGCAUGUGAUGCAGGUUGACGUCAAUGUGGGUCAUCCGAGUCGCUAGUCGCUCAACUCGCAUCUGGAGCCGGUGCCAUUCGUCAGCCCCUGGGGUAGGAGGAGGCUGCGAGUGUCUAGGUGUCCUAAACCUAGAAGCGGAUCUUGGCCUUACCAUGAUCUCUAGAUGUCACUCUAAUCACAAGGGACUACAAUUGCCAACAGAUAAUGGAAACAGGAAUUUCAAAGUAAUAACAAUUUUUUGUUUAAAACCAACCCAAUGAACAAUAGGCACAAUUCAAUCACCCACAGGUUAUACGAAUACCUCAACACUAAUAACAAAUGCAAUCAAUGAGCCCCUGUGGUCCAAAUGUAGUCAAAUUCAGAAUCAAGGCAGUCCAAUCAUGCAACAAGUGCUCCAAAUAGCUUAGUAAAGGAAACCAAAAGGAUAAAAUGCUCCUAAACAAGGCAAUCAGAGGCAACUAACUUCAAUAAGCAAAUUUCAGCGUUAUAGGCACCUCCCAAUUUAACAAGCAAAUUACCCACAAUUAGACACAAAUCACAGCAAAAUAGACACAAUUGGUCCCAAAAUGGUAACAACUGCCUCCAAUUGGACAGUCAAUUCCCCAAUUCAACCUGCCAAAAUCAGCAAUUGACCCAAGAAAAUGAUGGUAACUCCAGCAACAGUUCGGAGAUCUAGCAGGAGCAACACUUUAAGCACAAAAGCCCAAUAGUCAAUGGUGCACAACAAAAAUGGAAUCAGAGCAAAAUUAAAUCAGCCACAAGAACCUCUUAGAAAUUGCAACCGAUGGUGCACAGAAACAGCAACUAAAUGCCCAACCCAAAAUCGCAACAAUCGCCCAACAAAAGCAGCAAACCCCCAAAGUCAACCCCCGAUAACUUCCAAAUAAAAUAGCUAUCAGAGGGUCUAGAAAAUAUCAAUCUCAAGGGCUAAAAGAAGUCCCAAAUGAAUGAAUUGGGAUAGUAACUACGGCCAUGAAUCAGCAAUCAAUGCACUAAAUAUUAUAGUUGUUGGACUGAACAAAUAAAUGCACAACUCUGCCAACUACAAUUCAGCAGAGGCCCGAAUAAUUUAGCAACUUAAAUCAACAGUCAUAGGGCAUCAAGAAUUCAGUAAAAUAAUUUAACAGGGAGCCGAAAACCAAAGUUCAACAUAGAACCCAAAGCCUGUGUCCAAUUCACUCUAGAGAUCUAUUCCAGAAAUAGUACCCCAAAUAUAAGUAAUUUACCGUAGAAAAUUAGCCAAUAAAUUGGGAAAAACAAGUACCUCUGCUGCAUGCCAGAGACACCAAGCAGAUGGCCAUGGGUGGUGGAGCAGUGGAGCAGCGGUGGAGCGCACAGAGUCGCUAUAGUGGAGGAGCUGGGGGCUGCGAGGAGGAGCUAUUGGCCGUGAUCUGGUGUGAAGUGGAGAAAGAGUAGAGGGAGGUGGUGGCGGUGAGCUGGGGUGAAGCUUGCGAUGGUGGUAGGACGCUAGGUGAGAAGAGUGCGACCGUGGUCUGUAGGUGAAGUGGAGCUGAGGUGGAGCUGGAGAGGGAGGGGCGUGUGCGGUGGAGCUCGCGAAGCAGGGCGACGGCCUGGAGGCGCGGUAGAGGAGCUUGGCCGCGAGCUGGUAGCGGGUGGGAGAAGCGGAGCAGCGGCGGUUGGCGGCGGGCUGGCGCGCGGUAGAGCUGCGAGGUGGUGGUCGUGCUGGGAAGCUGGGUUCGGCGGCGGCAAUGGAGGAAGAAACGAAGGAAAAGGGGAAAAAGGGAAAGCAGCGGGGGCAGAAGGAAGAAAGAAAGAAAAGGAAAAAAAGAAAGAAAGAAGAAAGAAGAAAAGAGAAAGAAAGGAGAAAAAGAAAAGAAAAAAUAGUUUUUGUGGAUUUUUGUUGUUUUUUUUUUCUUCUUUUUUUUCAGUUUUUUUUUUCCUUUUUGAAUUCAAAUUUCGAAAAUUGUAAUUGCUAAAAUACUUUAUUUCCUUUUUGUUUUUUUUAGAAAUAAUAAUAAUAAUAAAUAAAUAAAUAAUAAAUUUUUUUUCUUAACUUUUGGGUCGUCAAAUAUGGCAUGGGCACGCCAAGAUUGGUAAAUGUCCACUGACCUCAGGAGUUAUAAACACCGCGUGGGCACGCCAAGAUUGCUGUCCUGACCACAGUGGAGGAAAACAUUAAAACCGACCACAACCUAAAUAAGAAACGACAUAAUUAAAGAAUUUAACAACGAAAAACAAUAAAAUCAAUAUUUGGGUUGCCUCCCAAAAAGCGCCUUUCUUUAACGUCUUUGGCUAGACAUUAUCAUGUUUGCUCAGGGAGGAUAAAAUCUUGUGACUCGUUUCAGUACUUCAUCCUCUAUAUAGUUCUGAUAGCCCUCGUAAAUAAAGUAAUCCUUGAACACACGAGCUACGGUCUUCCAUGGACUAGUUGAUGGCGCCAAAUAAUCAAGCAGUGAUAUCAAUUCUUCAUCCACUCCUCCAUCAAGAGCACUCAACGGUUCAAGAUAUUUGACCAUAGCUACUCUUAACUUAUUUCUGCUAUGAGACUCAAAAACUUCCGGUAUAACAAAAUCAAUCUCAUUAACAGAAAUCAUAGAGUAAGAGUUAAGAAAAUACGGGUUAGGGAAUGGAGGUGGUGUCACCACAUUUGAUGAUUCUUUACUGGAUUCUUUCACUUGAAUGGGUUGCGGUUGGGGUUCCAUUUCUUCCUUUUCGGCUUCUUUUUCAACUGCAUCUGUAGAUCUCUCAUUUUGACACUCUUGCAUCUCCUCAUCACUAGUCAAGUAAAUUGCACUCUCAUUUUCUUCAAAAUCAACAAUGGUUUUCGAGGAAAUUCUUCAAUUUGAGAAGCCAAUCGAUUUAUUCUGGAUGUCAAUAGACAUAUUUGAUCUGCCAGAUUACUCAUUGCAUCCUUCAUCAUCCCAUUUCUCAUUUGUGUCUUCUAUUGGAAUUGAUAUGUAUUAGUAGCUAUUGAUUCAACUAUUUCUUCAAGAGACAUACCUGACAUAGAUGAUGAUUCUUGAGACUCAUACUGCUGAAAAUUCAUUGGCCCUGUUGUAUAAUUAUAACUGGAGUUAUCCCACCAUCCUUGAUCAUACCCGUUUGGAUUAGGGUUAUACCACGUUUGAGACCAGGGUGAAAAAUCUCCAUAAUUAUUGAGUGGGACACUCAGAUUAUCUUGAUAUUCGGGGCACAUACCGGUUGAAUUAUCCCUGGCAUAACAAAUUUUACAGGUUGCAGCAGCCAUUCUUUCUCUAAUAGAGUUUAGUGCCUCAGAAUAAGCAAACUUAGCAAAAAAAGAAGCCUCAUUGCCUUCCCUGGAAACAAAAUUCAGUCUAUCACCAAAAUACGGAGUGUUAGAAGCCAUAAACUAUAAAAAAAAAUAAGAGAAAAAUAAAUAAAUAAAAUAAAAAAAAGAUGAACUAAAAAAGAAACAAAUUAAUCGGGCACCAGUCCCCGGCAACGGCGCCAAAAAUUAACAGGGUGUCGAACCUGUGCAAUAAUAAAUAUCUGCUCAAACAAAAUAUAAUUUCUGUAGAUAGUGAUAAGUAGGGUCGAAUACACAGGGAUUGAGGAUAAUUUAUUUCUUUUAGAGUCCGAAGUAUGGGGGGUUUUUGGAGAAUAUAAAAUAACUAAUUAACUAACUAAUAAAACAACUAAUAGAAAUAAAUAGAAAUUAAUCAAUAACCAAUAUGACUCUAGCCAAAGGUACAACUUUUCAGACACGGUCCAUGCAACUGAUCAUCGAUGCAAGAUUAAUUCAAUUACUCAUUAAUAGAUUGGUUAUAGUUGUCAUACACGCGAUGAACAACUAAUCUUUCCUUAAUUUCUCGAUAGUUAAGGUACGACCGUUAACUAUUUCCCUAACUAAGAAAUAACCCUAGGUACGACCAUAGAAUUUAAUUACCCGAUUGCACUAAUAAUUAGAAAAACCCAAUCCUAACCAACAAACGCGCUACGAGGGUUUGUUUAAGUUAGAUCAUACGUUUCCCUAACAUGAAAUCAAUCACGCUAGUUGCCACUGGUAUUAAUCAAUUGAACAAUUAUGGAUUCAAUCAAUUAAUUUGGCAUUAGAUUAUUAAGUUAAUUCGAAUAUCGGGCCCUUGACAUUCAAAUAACAUAACAAGCAUAAGCAAUUAAAUCAGGAAACGCACAAAUACCAAUAAAUAAAAGCAAUAAAUAAAAUAAUUAGAUCUCACAGAUGUUCGAAACCGAGUCCUCAAAUUGACCUUCGACUAGGAAAACUUAGCCACGCCUCAUGAGAAAAUCUCCAAGUAAUUUAACUGAGGUCAUGGCCAUCAAAGGAACCAAGAAAGAAUAAAACUAAACUAUGCUAAAAAACUCUCCGUAGCCUUUCUUCCGGUUGUCCUUAUAUAGCCAAAAGGAAAUGACUAAAGCUAUCUAUCCAGUGGUCCCCACGAAUAAGGAACAAAAACAACUCUUUGCACGUUUGUUUCCUUUCAAUUCAAAUGACUAAUGCCUUUCUUCUCUCCGUGGUCCCCGCACAAAUUGAGAAAGGAGUGUACAUAAAGUGAAGUUCUCUGAAGUCCUUCUUUCUUUAGUUUCCUCUUGAUAGUCAAACACUUCAACACUCCAAGAUACUCCUAAUCCGCAAAAAAGAAAUGCAGUCCGCGUAUAUCACCAUGUGGGCCAGGUCUGUGGCUUAUUUGAAGUCUCAAUUAUCUUCAGAAAGUCCUUCCUUUUUUGUAGUUUUCUGCUUCACUCCCUGAAAUUGGGUCCAAUACCAAAUAUAAGUAAAUAUUAAUAAUUAAAACAAUAUUUGGCAAGAAUAAAAGGGGAAAUUAACAAUAAAAUUACUAACAAUUAACACCCUAUCAAAUGUCUUAGAAAAGUGUUUCUAAAUCCAAAACACCUAAUACUUAAAAUACAAGGGAACCCAAAAUAUUUUACUAAACAAAAGAUUUAAUGAUUCAAGGACCCAAAUAGCCCACUAAAACUCUCUUGAUUUUGUGCACUAAAUCCCAUCACAAGCCCACUAUAUUUAUAGGCAAUUAAGGGAAAGACUCCUUUAUAUAAAAAACGAUGUGGAACAAAGCCAGUUUAACAAAUCUCCACCGUAGCAUGUCCCCAACAUCGACAAUAGCAAAUCUGCUCCACCACAUAAACUCCAAUGGGCCUAAAUCACCAACAAUGAAUACCAGCUAAGUCCAAGCAUUGCUUGAACUUGUAAACUGGAAGAGGUUUCAUGAAUAUGUUAACAGGAUUCUCCUUGAUACUAAUUUUCUAAACAAGAACUUUUCCUUCAACAAUAAUAUUUUGAAUCAAACAAAAUUUUACAUCAAUGUGUUUCGUCCUCUCUUGAUACAUCUAGUUUUUAGUCAAAUGAAUGGCACUUUGACUAUUGACAGGUGUCGAACCUGCGCAAUAAUAAAAACUUACUCAAACUAAAGGUAAUUUCUAUAGAUAGUGAUAAGCAGAGUCGAAUCUACAGGGAUUGGGGAUAUUUGUCUCCUUUGAAAUUCACAAUAACAAGGGGAGUGUUUUUGUAUAAAAGAUGGCAGUAAUUAAACAGUUCGAAUAAAAUUAAAUAGCUAACUAAAAAUUAAAUGACAAAUUACUAAAACCAAAUUAACAAUAGCUAAGCACUAGUCAAGAAAUAACUUCAGUAAUGGUUCAACUAAUUGAUCAUUGAUGCAAAUAUAAUUUCAAUUAUUAAUUGGUAAAUAAGUUAUAACUGCCAAACAAACGAUGACAGUCAACUCCUCCUUACUGUUUCGAUGACUGAGAUACGCCCGUCAAUCACUACUCUAAUCGGGAAAUAACCUUAGGUACGCCGGUAAGAUUUAAUUCCCCAAUUGCCUUACGUAUUAGAGGAGCCCUAUUCUAACCAAAUAACACACUACCAGGGUUAUUUUAGAUUAGCCUGCCUAUUCUCUUGACACAAAUCUAAUCAUGCCAGUUGUCACUAUUUUAGAGCAAUUAAAUAAUUACGGAUUUAACGCUCUAAUUGAUAUCAGGUUGCUAAAUUAAUUCAAUGUCCGGGCCCAGGAUAUUUAAUUAACAAAACAACCAUAAGCAUUACAAACAGAAAAUAUGCAAAUACCAGUAAAUAAAAGGAAUAAAUAAAAUUAAUUCGAUCUCACAAUUGUUAGAUGAACCAAAGCCUCCGUUGUUUCUCGACUAAAAGAAGGGAUUUAGUUCAUCCCUAAUGAGGAAAACCCAUGCGAACAUUCAGAAGUAAUUGCGGGCAUGGUCUCUGAUUUAGAGAACUCAAUUCAUUCGAAUCAUGAAAUGAAAAGCUAAACUAUAAAAGUAAUUGCUUGGUUCUGAUUGUCCCUGACAUCCGCAGGGAGCAACUACUAAAAGACGGAAACGGAAAAGUCAAAACGAAAAGCUAAUCUAAAGGUUGUCCCCUAUUGUCUGCUAUAUUUUCCUAUAUAAUGCUACUGUGCGGCGUCCGCUAGCUCCCGAAGAAGACUCCUGCCCUUCUUUGAAUGCUGUCUUCGGCCAAAUUACCAAAAUGGGGUUGCGUCUCUUUGUUCCAAAAAUGCCUGCUAUUUGAACUCUUUCCUGAUGGUUGCCAAAUUGGCACUUGUUAUAGUAUUUUCGAUCUAUUCCCUGAAAUAAAUACAAAUUGUCAAAAGUGAGUAGAAUCUAAUAAUUAAUCCACAUCGGGUCAGGUAAUAUGGGAAAUUAAUAAGAAAAUAAAUGAUAAAAUCACAACUUAUCAACUAUCACAGUAAAUAGUAGUAACACCUUGAUAUAAAUGAAGUUUGUCAAACAAACUCUUCAACCACAAGACUUCUUUAAUUGUCUCGGUCAUAACCAUAUAUUCUGCAUCCGUAGUAGAUAAAGUUAUAAUAGGUUGUAAAGUAACUUUCCAAUUAACUGCACAACCGUCAAUACAAAAUACGUAACCUGAAAGUGAUUUUUUUUUUAAUCAAGAUCCUCGACAUAGUCAGAGUCUACAAAACCAACCAAAGCGUUAUUAUUUCUCCCAAAUUCCAAACAACGGUUUGAAAUCCCUUGCAAGUAUUUGAGAAUCCACUUCAAAGUUUGCCAAUGUAUUUUUUCAGGACAAGACAUAUAUCUGCUAACCACACUGACUGCUUGUGCAAUAUCUGAACAAGUAUAAACCAUUGCAUACAUAAUGCUAUCGACUGCACUGGAAUAAGGAACCCAUGCCAUAUAUUCUUUUUCUUCAACUGACAUUGACGAUUGAGCAGCAGAUAGUCGAAAAUGACUAGCAAGAGGAAUAAUCACAGGUUUAGCAUCUUUCAUGCCAAACUUUUCCAAGACUUUUUCAAGGUAAUUUUCUCGGGUCAAGAAUAACUUUCCAACUUCUCGAUCUCUCUUGAUCUCCAUGCCAAGAAUUUUCUUAACUGUUCCCAAAUGUUUUAAUUCAAAUUCACUACUUAACUGCAACUUCAAAGUGUGAAUUUCUGAUAAAUUCUUGACAUCAAUAAGCAUGUUAUUAACAUAAAGCAGCAAAUAAAUGAAAGAACUAUCAUCUAACUUUCAAAAGUAAACACAACUAUCAUACAUGCUCCUUGAAUGACUGUGAUCCAACAUAAAAGUGUCAAAUCUCUUAUAUCACUAUCUUGGAGGCUGUUUCAUUCCAUAUAAAGAUUUCUUUAGCAAAUAAACAUGGUCUUCCUUUUCUUCAAUUUCAAAUCUUUGAGAUUGUUUCAUAUAAAUUUUCUCUUCAAGUUUACCAUGCAAGAAAGCUGUUUUAACAUCAAACUGCUCCAAUAGUAAAUCAUACAUGACAACUAAAACAAGUAAAGUAUAAAUUGAGUUAUGCUUAACAACAGGUGAAAAUACUUCAUUAAAAUCAACACAUUGUACCUGACUAUAACCCUUUGCAACCAAUCAUGCUUUAUACCUUGCAUCUUCGACCCAUGCGAUACCUUCUUUCUUCUUGAAGACCCAUUUGCAUUCAAUAAUUUAAAAGCAAUGAAAAUGUUUUACUUAUGAAAAACUUUAUAAUGCCACAUUAAUGUCAAAGAGUGUCUUCCUAGGAGAAAGAAAUAUAGAUUAGCUAAAAGAAGACCAAAAAAAAAAAGGGAGUUCUAUGCUUACAUGCCCUUCAGGAGAAACUAAUAGAGGUCAUCCUAUUAAGUUGUUUGUCGCACUAUAUAUAAUUCACUUUAGGUAUAAAUGUUUUUUGAGUGCUCAGACCUCUUAUUCAACAAUAUAAACUUUUGAAAGAUCAAAUUUUGAUAAUGAACAAUUACAUUAAAAGAAAAUUUCAAAAUCUAUACAAAACUUUUUUGACAAAUGUGCACCAUUUUUUUGUAACUAUCCAACACGAAAUGCAAACUACUGUUCUUCGUGCUUUAGAUUUUGUUGUUCUCAUCUCAUGGAAACCUUAUUUGCUUGCUUCUUGAACAUAGACGUAUCAAAUUUAGGAUAUGUGACAAAUUUUCAAUAGGUUUGGUGAUUUUAAGUCAAACAUUUUAAACUAAUUUAGAUUGCAAACGUGAGGGUCGUAAAUCAGAAAAUCAAUUACACAACCAACUAAUAGAGAAUCAAAAUUUCCAUUAAGUCAGUAGAAAAUAUGCCUCUAAGGAUUUUGUCCACAAGAAAAUAAAAAUUUUCCACGGUGGGUCACGACUUCUGUUGACGAGUGGACUUAGACCCAACACAUCCGCCAAUUUUCUACCCAACUUGGAACAUUAUAUGCUGCCUGUCAAGAUCUUGAAUGUUCUUUAUUUAGGAUUUCUUUGCUUCUUAUAAUUAUAGAUGCGCAUAUGAAAUUCUUGAUCUAUUUAUUCUCCUUUUAGCUUCAACCUUUUUAUAGUUUAAAAGCCACCAAAAUGUUUUGCUUAUUAAAAUGUUCAUCAAGUCCAAAAAAAAAAAGAAUGAAAGUUUAUCAAGUCUUAUGUAAUGCAUUAGGUUUAAAUUUAAUUUCAUUUAAAUCAAAAAAGCGAAGGAUUUAGGCUUGUCAGUGGGCCAUCUGAAGUGAGGUUUAACAAACAUAGAUUUGGCUUAUAUAGUUAGUACCACUUUUGGAUUUCGAAUUAUGAGAUUUGAAGUGAUAAAUAUGAAACUCAUACUUGACUCACAAAAUAUCCAGAUUAUAAGUUUAAUUCUGAUUUAGCUCAAGUUCACUUAUAACUCCUUAAUUUUCUUACUAUAAUUACUAUAAUUAUUAAGUUUUAAACUAAUUUAAUAUCCACAGAACCACAAUGUUAAAACUUUUCAAAGGAACUCAAUUUGCUCAUACCAAGAUUUGUCCUUCUAAUUCUUUUUACAUAAUUUUAUAUAUUUAAUAUUCCUAUAUAUAUAUAUAUAUAUAUAUAUAUAUAUAUAUAUAUAUAUAUAUAUAUAUACUAGUAAGGGUUGGCUAUGCUAUGCAUAGCCAGUGCCCACCUUGAAGCGUUCAAGGUUAGCAAAAUUUGAUGGAAUGUUUGUCAGUAGAGUGUCAUGUGUGAAAGUACACGUAAAGUAUGUAUAUUACUGAAAUGGAGAGAAAUUGGGUUAUCAAUAUUUAAAUUUGAACAAAUGAACUUUGUCAUUUUUUUGUGAAUUUUCUUUGAGUCAUUAAUACAUUAAUAUUUAGUUAAAAUAUGAGUCAUUAAUGCUAUCUGAAAUUACCACCAAGUAUAGCAUGCAAAUUUGAUGAGACAAAUAUGUCUUUAUUACAUUUCAUUAAGAUGCUUUCUUUCCCUCUUUUAAUGAUAGCUUUCAAAUAUACAUUUUUUUUGUCAUUGUCACGGAUUUAUAAUUCUCUACAUUUUUCAUUUAACAAAUUUAAUUCAGUGUACAAAUUAAUAAUAUACUUAUAUACUUUUUGGUUUUAAAAUUAUAUGUAUAAUUUGUUCAGCAACUAUACGCAGAGAAAUUGAAAAAUAGUAGGAUUAUUAAUGGUUAGCAUUUUUGCAGAAGUUUUUUGUGUUUGAUAGAGGGACAUCUAUAUAUGAAUUGGAUUUAUAGCUUAUUAGUAAAUUUGCUUUUCAAGGCAAAAAAGAUUAAAUUGAAGUACAUUAACAUAAAGGAUAGAGAAAUACAAGAUAACAUAAUUAAAACAUAUGUAGGUAGCAAGUCAAAGCAACCAAGUCGAAGUACAUUAACACCAACAAUAAAUAGAUACAAGAUAAUUAAAUUAAAACACAAGUAGUUCAAUUCUGAGGCACAUAAGCAUUAUAUUGUUGGAAACUAAUUUUAUGCAUAAUCAUUGUGAAGGUUCAUUUAAGUCUGUUGGCCAGCUGGGACUUGUUCAGCUUCAUAACUUGUGACAAUCUUAAAAGUUGUUCCAUUGAUUGCUUUUUCUCUUGGAGUUGCUUUCUUAACAAAGCACAUGAAUCUCUUUCCUUGGAAUAUAUUAAGUGGCAAUAUGUUAGUUCAAUUGUAUAACUUUAAAUGACAAUAAAAACAUGAAUAAACAUAAAGUCAAAUGUUACUAAAUAUUUGAACAUGAACAAAUGAAAAUAAAAUUGAUACAGAAAAAUGUACAUUGCAUUAAGCAAAAAUAAUAAUCUUGUUCUUUAUAAUAGGAUAGAAUAAAUUUUAGAUAAUCUUUUGCUUUACAUUAACUUUAAAUCAUAACUUAUUUUGACAAAUAUAAUUUUAAAUGAAAAUUCGAAUAGAAAUAAUUAAAUCUCAAGUUAAUUUGUCAAAUAUAAGUUGAAAUGUUAAUGUAAAUAGUAAUAAAUAUAAAUUCUUAUUGAAUUAUAUAUGUUUAAAAUAUAGAGAUUGAAAAGCCUACUCAAAAGAAUUCAACCUUAUAAAGAAAUGGUAAAUGCAAUUGAAUUUGGAUCAUUGAACACAUUUAAAGCAAUGCAAGUCCAUAGAGAAUGCAAAAGAGAAAGCUCAAAAUUCAAAUAAUAAAAAUAUGAAUAAACAUAAAGUCAAAUGUUACUAAAUAUUUGAACAUGAAAAAAUGAAAAUAAAAUUGACACAGAAAAAUGUACAUUGCUUUGAGUAGAAAUAAUAAUUGUAUUCCUUAUUAUAGGAUAGAAUAAAUUUUAAAUAAUCUUUUGCUUUACAUUAACUUUAAAUGAUAACUUAUUUUGACAAAUCUAAAUUUAAAUGUAAGGUUGAAAACUCGAAUAGAAAUAAUUAAAUCUUAAGUUAAUUUAUCAAAUAUAAGUUGAAAUGUUAAUGUAAAUAGAAAUAAAUAUAAAUUCUAAUUGAAUUAUAUCUGUUCAAAAUAUAGUGAUUGAAAAGUCUACUAAAAAUAAUGGGUUAAUUACAUUUACCUCCCCUGAGGUUUGACCAUAUUACCAAUCAAUCCCUGUAAUUUGUCCAAAUAACGGUCUCACCCUUUGAAUGAUCAAACAUUUAACAAAAACCCCCUUAAUGCCGAAAAUGCCCUUUUUUAGGCCAUAUUGCAUUAAAAAAAGAACAUAUUUUUAUUUAUUAACCUUCAAGUAAUCCAAAAAAAUAGAAAAAAGUUUUUGCUUAUUAUUUUAUAAAAAUCAUAUCUUUGCUUCCAUAAAUAGUUUUGAAUCAAUAAUUAUUUUAAAUCUUAAAAAUGAAUAUUAAAAAUUAAAUAAAUUGAAAGAAAAAUAAAAAAGAAACAAUUAUUUUAAAUACUCAAGUAUGGUUCGAAUUUGUGGUUCAAGGCAUGUUGCGGAGAGCACAAGGCAUGUUUUCCUCAAUUUGAACCAUACUUCAGGAAUUAAAAUAAUUUCUUCUUUUUUUAUUUUUCUUUCAAUUUAUCUAAUUUUUAAUAUUCAUUUUUAAGAUUUAAAAUAAUUAUUGAUUCAAAACUAUUUAUGGAAGCAAAGAUAUGGUUUUUAUAAAAUAAUAAGCAAAAACUUUUUUCUAUUUUUUUGGAUUGCUUCAGGGUUAAUAAAAUAAAAAUAUGUUCUUUUUUUAAUGCAACAUGGCCUCAAUAAGGGCAUUUUCGGCAUUAAGGGGGUUUUUGUUAAAUGUUUGAUCAUUCAAAGGGUGAGACCGUUAUUUGGACAAAUUACAGGGAUUGAUUGGUAAUAUGGUCAAACUUCAGGGGAGGUAAAUGUAAUUAACCCAAAAAUAAUUCAACCUUAUAAAGAAAUGAAAAAUGCAAUCUAUUUUGGGUCAUUGAGCACAUUUAAAGCACUGCCAAAUCCAUAAAGAAAGCAAAAGAGAAAGCUCAAAAUUCACACAAAGUGCCACGUGUCAGCAAAGGGGACUGCUACAGUAACUAUAGCCUUUUGUUUAUCUUAUAGUAAGAUAUUUUGACAAAUAACUCAUAAGCAUUAGAAUUAUAUAUUUAGAUAGAUAUAUAUAUAUAUAUCAAAAUAUGAAUAUAUUAUAUAUAAUUAUAUAUAUAGCUACAUAUCAAAGGGUGGAGCCUAUAUCGAGUUUGAUCCAAAUAAGAUCCAAACUCUACUAACAUUUAAUUCGGGACUAAUAUUUAGAUCCAAUUUUAACCCAACUCAAUGAACGGUUAGACUCAUUAGACUUUUUCUCAGAGUUGAAUUUAAAUUGACUCGACCCCAUUGACAAUCCUAAAAGGAUUGCCUCAGAUUUUUGUGCUAAUUCAUUUCCCUCUCAACAUGAGUAAGAAAGGGAAUUUGGAGAUAAGAUGAUUAGAGUGGGGGCUUGCUUGGUUGGAUAGAUUAAUUUGGUAAUUUUGAAUGUGUUUGGAUUGUAAAUUAUUUGAAAUAUUUUUGCUGUAGCACUUUUUGUGAUGUGGUGUAUGUGAGAUAAAAAUGUAAUUGGAAAGAUAAAAAGGUGUAUUGGAAAUUGUAAUAAUGAUGUAAGCAAAUAACUUUUGGCAAAUAAUUUAUUAGAUAUUAGGAAUAUGUGAAUUUGCCAAAACUUCUAUGUCUUUAAGAAUUUUAAAUCUUUCUAUUACUACUUCUCAAAAAUUUCCAAAAAGAGAAACACAAAUUUGAUUCUCAAUGUUUGACCUAUAUACCAAAUUGUUUUUUAAUGUAUCAACCAAAACAAAUCUGGUCUCUAAGUUUUUUGACUUUAACUUUACAUUUUUAGUCCCUAAUGUUUGAAGUUUCAAUCAAUAUGGUCUCUUAAGUUUCUAGUUAUAGUUAAGGGUUUUAAAAUGAAAAAAAAAGGAUGUGAAUUGAAUUAAAUAUAUGACAAAUGUCAUCCUAAAUUCAUAUAAAAUUUCAAAAAAAACACUUUAUAUCAACAUAAUAACAUCGUUGAACUUAAAGAUUUUUUUUUGAAUAAGUUACAAUCAAAUGACAAUAUAUACAUAAUAUAUAAAAUUAAAAAAAGGAAAAUUCUAGUAUUAAUAUAAAAUUUAUUAUCAUUCAUGCUAGUUCUUGCAUGGCUUGUGCAUAUAGGCCUUAAAUUGUUAUAGUUAGAAAUUGUUAUAAAAACUAGCAAACAUAAAUACUAAUAUGAAGUGUUUUACUCAUUAUGGGUUAAUUAUCAAUUAAUUACUAAUAGAAUAAAACAAUAAUUACAUAUUCAAUACCGAAUUUGAGACCAAUUAUACCAAAGGGAAGAAGUAUACGAGACAUUAGUGGCAUGAAUAAAUGAAGUAAAAAAUAAAAAGUUUAAUUAUAAUUGCUCGUACCCAUUUAAGACAAUUGUGUUGUAAUUCGCAUCUUAUUUUAUUCUAAUACCCUCAAUACCACUAUGGAAAACUUAAGCAACUAAAAUGAUUAAAAUUUCAAACAUUAUGGUCUAAAAGUACAAAAUCAAAAUUGUUAAGUAACAGCAAUCAAAUUUUGACCGUUAGUCAUUGUUGAGUUUUCAUCAUUGUUGCAUGUACCUACUACCAAAAACUUUGAGAACCAAAUUUAUUUUGGUCAGAACAUUAGAGACUAAUUUAGCACAUAUGCUAAAAAUUGGAGGCUAAAACUACAAUUCUCCGUUUUUCCAAAAGAAAAAUCUGCACCUUUUUUUUUGUUUUAUUUUUGUGCACACAUGUAAUUUUUUUCACCUUUGAUAUCACACAACGAUCCAAACUGAUUGACAUUAGUUAAUAGAUCCAAUUGUUAAAAUGACUUUGUGAAUUGUGAGGGUGGUAAUAUGUAGAAAAAAUUCUGUUUGGUAGAAUUUGGGUAAAAGGAGGAUGCGUUUGAUAAAAUUAAAAUUUGAAAAUUGAAGUCUGAAGUUUGAAUUUCAUUAAGUUAAGUUGUUGAAUUGUUAAAUAUUAGGCCUUGUUUGAUAACACAAUUAAAUACUUAAAGUUAAUGGAUUCAGAUAAUAACAUGUUCAGAUGCAUUUGAUAACCAAAAAUUACACAUCUGAAUUAAUUAAAUGACACUGAAUUUCUUAGGCAUAAUUUGCACCAAAAAAUUUUGGUAAAGUUAGUAACAUAGUUCAGAGUUUUGCUUUUUUUUAAAAAAAAAUUUCAAUUUUUUGCAAUAUUUCCUAGUGUUUAAAUGGGUAAAUCAUAAGCUUUCCAUUGAGUUGUUCUAUGCUGUACCUCACUAUUUUGAAUUAGGACCAUGCAUAUGGUUUUACAUAUUAGAAGUGAUCAAGGACAUGAGACAGGAUUUGUGGAAAUGCAGCUUAGUCAGUGAUAGGUGUCGAAUCUAUGCAAUAAUAAAUACUUACUCGAGUAAAAUAUAAAUUUUGUAAAUAGCGGUGAGCAGGGUCGAAUCCACAGAAAUUAGAAAAAAUUCGUUUCUUCUAGAGCCCAGAGUACGGAGAAUUUUUAUAAAAUUGGGAAUAAUUAAACAACUUAAAUAAAAAGGACUAAAUUAUAAUCAAUUGAAAUUGAAUCAAUAAUAAACAAACUCUAGUCAAGAAAUAACUUCAAAAAUGGUUCACUCUAUUAAUCACUAAUGCAAUAAUAAUUUGAUUUGCUCACUGAUAAUUUCAUUUUCUCCCUCCCUUCCUUGGCUAAAAAAUUUGACUCUUAGCGGCAUCCUGUUUCCUAUUAGUGCUGGGGAUCAACUUGUUCUUGUGUGUUACAAUGCGGAGGUUGACAAUGAGUUCAAGUUUUGUCGACGAUCGUGAUUGGUUCAUUAUUAUCCCUUUUAUGUGGAAGGGAAUUACUUGUUCACAACUUUUGGCAUUAGCGUUUUUGCCAAUCGUGUAUUUUACAGGAGUUUAUUUCAAGGACAUGCUCCAUUCUGUGGUAAAGCUGAGGGGUUGCCUGACCAUUUUUUGCCUCCUCAAUAUCAUGGUCAUUGUCCAAUGCCCCUACAGCGGAUUGGCCCAUAUAAGUUUGCUACCCUUUGGCUCGCAACUGUGGGGCAAAAACCACGACAUUGUGCUAAGUUGAGUGUGUUCACCACUUCACCGCUUGAGGAGGAGGAGCAUUCUGCUACUCCGCUUCGGGAGGGGAAGAAGGAAGAUGAUACUUCUUUAUAGGAAGGAGAUGAAGAAGGAAUCUUGUUUUGUUCCCAACAUUGAAUUCGACGAAAGUCUUGAACUCGAGGUAGAGGAGCAUGUUCAUUUCUAUAUUGACGCUAUUGAUGUAGUAUUCCCUCAAUCAGAAGUAGAUGUGCAUAUGUAGUGGUCCGUGGUGAGGAAGGUUUUUUGCGUUCGGUUCUGAAAUUGCACAUAUUCAUGGUUGGCAUUUGGGAAAUUGAUGAACUCAGAUGUUUGAUCAUUUGUUGUUUAGUGUACCAAAGGACUUCCGAAUCAACCAUACUGUAUAUACUAAACAUCUUUACUUUUUGUUGUUGUUUAGUAUACCAAAGGAGCAUGGUUUUUUGCUGUAGUAUUUACUCAAACAGAGGUAGACUUUUAUUCCGGGGUGAGGAUGACAAGAAUAAGCGUGAGGAUGUGUAUCUACAAACAGUGUAUCUUAAAAAGUGCAUAAUCAGAAGUCUUAAAAAGUGCUUAAAAAGUGAAAACACUAGUAUAGAAGUCUUAGUAACUUGGCCUUAGGCAACUGUUAAGAUAAGAAAUGGUCCACUUCCUAAAAACUCAGGUCUCAAAGCAGCUCAAUCAGAUGAGCAGAACUAUGCCUGUGUAUCUCAAUAUUUUCUGCAAUUCCGGGGCCUAGGCUAGGACCAAGAAGAACAAAUUAAGGGCAGACUUUUAUUUCGAUCACAUUCAUGACAAUCCUCAUCUGGAAGAAGAACAAAAUCUAGUAGUACACAAGAAACUGCUGCAAAAAUCUGGUAGAGCUAAUCUGAAAGUAUCUAAGCUAAUUUGAUACAAACUGGCUGAAGUACUCAUCAAGUGUGGUGUAUUUAACAUCAGGAUAGAGCUCCGUUGCCUCCAUGCCAAAAGAAGCCUUGAUCUCAAAGUUGGCUAUUUCUCCCUUCACGAAAAAUGUGUAUGCCAAAGACAGGAGCAAUUUUAAUGGCAUUGAAGCCUCUGCAAAAGAUACAAGAAAAGAAAGCAAUUUGAUUAAAACAUGGAAUAGGUGUUAAUAAUAGUAGAUGCUAUUGUAUUAAAAAUUAGCAACUUGUGCACUUUUUUCUUAUUGUUAGAUGACCUUGAAUUUUCUUAAGAACUUCGUCCCCUGGAACGUAGAUCUUUUCGAGGGUCUUGCCAAUUUUCUUUUCCCACAAUGAUACUAUUUCGUUGUAGGACAAGGUGUUGGCAGGGGGUGUAAUGUACACACUCUUGUUCAGAGUCCUUGGGUCAUCUGCUGCUUUGAUGGUGUAUGCAGCAAUGUCUUCUUCCUUGGUGAAAACAACUGCAACGAAACAUGAAAUUGAAGAAAAAAUUGAGAACUCUAAAAGAUGAUACUAAACCAAUCAACAUAUGCAGCAGACAAGCCCCUUUCGGAUACCUUUUGGAUUUCCAUCGCCAAGAAUGACAAUUUUGUCUCUGGGAGGACUUGCAGAGAAAGAGUCUCCAAAGUUGUUGAGGAUAUAAUUCAAGUAACCAGCAAAUCCGUUAGAUACUAAAUAAGUGUAAGGUAUCCCUUCUGCCUCAAUAGCUCUGCGGAUCUCAACCUUGGUCCUGUUUAAGCUAGCAGCUGGGUCAACAGCAUGCGCACGAUCCACAUCAACCCCAAAUUCAGAAGGUAAAAAUCUCUGAAACCAAAUACAGCUCCUUCUUUAGGAAUAUGGAAGUCACAGCUCACAAAGGGACAAACGCAAAAAAAUAAAAAUCAAGAAAGAAUUUGUAACACUGUAUUGUGCUUACUUUGAUGUUUCCAGUUUCUUUAAUUGCUUCAAUAAUCUUAACUUGAUGAGCUACCAAAUCUCCCCCGACUGCAGAGAUCACUAUGUCAACUUGUUUGAUUGCAUUUACCAACUGCUGAUGAUUGUGUAGGUCUCCCUGUUCAGUCCAUACGUACACGUUAGUUUCUAUAAUUUCUUGAAAAAAAAUUGAAACAGUAUUUAAACAACGAAGAAAGAAAUAACAGCACACAUGAAGAAAUAUGACUCCCAAACUCUUGAAACUCUCUAUGAUAACUGCCCUUUUAGGAUCUGAUAUUGUGCUUUCUCGGACCAAUGCAAACGUUGGGUGCCCUGCCUUUGCACUCGCUUCCACUAAAUAUUUCCCGAUGUUUCCAGUGCCCCCAAUGAUCAAAAUCUUGCUUUUCACAUCCAUUUCCAGCUCUAGGAUAGUAGACUACUGUUGCAAAUUGGGUGGAAACCGUGAAUUGAUGAGUUGAACGGAUGCAGAAAUGUGCUUGGCUGCAGCUUCGUGCACGGUUAAUUUAUAGAGGAAAAAGUAUUGAAACUGGCAAGCCUGUCGCUGCAGUUUCCUUUUGAUGCUCUGUUGGAUUAAUCAACGAAGUUUAGACAGUUGAAGAUUCUCACGAGGCUUCCCAAAAAAUCCUGGCACUAACGGAUUCUUAUUGGCCAGCAUGCGCAAUGAAUAGUUGUCUGGUUCUUGAAAAAAUUGACACGUAUAGGCCGGGUGGCAAUUGCGAAAGAGAAAGGUCAAAGUCAAUUGAAUGUCCUUGCGAAACUACUCAUAUGGAAAAUUUAGCGGUAGGAUUUUGUCCCUAAAUCAGUGAUGACCAUGACAGGAUAAAGCUCAUGGCCAAUAUCUUAUGGCAAAUCUGGAAGGCACGUAACAGGAUGGUAUUCCACCUUGAGAGCACAGAUGCAAAGCAGGUUGUUGACAAAGCACAGCUGGAGUGGAUAGAGUAUGAAAAUGAAACUGAUGCAAUUGCAGGAAAACAAGUUACUCCAGAACUGGACCGGCAACAGCAACAUGGCUGGGAACCACCAAAAGAAGGAGUGAUCAAAAUAAAUACGGAUGCAGCAAUAUCAGCCAGAAUGGUAAGAACAAGUCAGGGGAUAAUAGCCAGGAACUGGCUUGGAAAGAUUGUGAAAGCGAAAGGAAUUUCUGUAUGCAAGCGAGGAGAUGCAAGCAGAGAAGAAUCACUAGCUAUAAGAAGUGCUCUAGUAAUGGCAAAAGACGCAGGUUGGACUAAUAUAGAAGUUCAAACAGACUGCAAAGGAGUAGUGGACCAAAUCAACACAGGCAAUGUUCAGGAAGUAGUAUUGAAACAGUCCUAGAGGACAUUAAUGACCUUAGACAGGAUUUCGAUUACUGCAAAUUCUCUUUUGUUCCUAGGAAAGGAAAUGGCUGCAGCCAUGCUCUGGCACAGUUUGCUGCCAAGUUAGUUAAGAAUGUGGAAUGGGAAAAUUCCUUCCCAAUGUGGUUAAUAGACCCAGUAAGGAAGGAUAUGGGGGUAAUUACCCCUUUUGUAAUUAAUUCUUGUAUUAUCAAGUGUUAAUAGCUGUAAAAUGUUAACGUUUGUGGGGAAAAAAAAAAGAAUCAGUGAUGACCAAACCUGAAGUAAGCGCUGACGAACAAAAUGUUGAAGUGAACAAAAAAGCAUGAACUUAGUACUAAACAUUACAAUGUGCCAGGAAAAAAAAUGAAAAGCACAACAUUAUUUUUCUUUUUAUAUAUUCAUCAUAUACUGAUAGAAGCCUGUACUCAGAGGCUUUUGGGUACAACGAAUCUGAACAAUGCAAUUAAUAUAAUUGAUAGGGAAAAUCGUUUAAAACGUUUCUCAUAUUUUUGUAAAAUGAUUUUUUUCGUCUCUCACUUUUAAAAAGUGUAAUUUUACGUCUUUUACAAAUUCACAUCAGUCAAAUUGUGUUCCUGCCUAGGUUUCCGACUAAUUUUUGGCUGGAAUUCACCACGUGCCUUGCACGUGAUUAUUUUUAGGGGAAAAAUUAUCAAAUCAUAUUUCACAUAUAAUCUGAUUCAUAGUCUCUCACACUUCAUAAAAUGAAUUUUUGCGUCCCUCACUCAAUCAAACCAUAGUUUGUCCCCCACUCAAUAAAAUAAAUUUUUUCGUUCCUCACAUUUCACAAAAUCACUAAGCAAAAUCCUCGAUGACAAUUAAAAUGUAGCAAUAAUUGUUAGGAGGAUUAAAAAAUAGAAGCCAUGAGGACACUUCUUCAAUCAAACCAUAGUUCGUACAAUGUCAUUCCUUCAAUUUUGGUUCAUCAUCUUUUAAUUCCGUGAAAUUUGCUUUGUUUUACUUAUAAUGUUAUUAUUUGUUCAUUAUAUUUUGAUUUCAUAACAUCAAAAUAGUUAAUUUUAAUUAAUCAUAAUUCAGACAAGUUUGGAGCACAUGCACAUUCUAAAUAAGAAUAAAUGUCUUGUUAUGCUUUGAUGAAAAUUUGGUUUGCUAAGUUGGAAAAAAAGGUAUCUCUCAUAGACAAUCUAACAAUAUAUUCUUGAGCAAUUUAGAAUUCCAUCUUGUGUUGUUCCAAUUAAUUGUCUCUAAAAAUUAUAGCUAUGAGGCUAAAUAAAACCAGCGGCAGAGGAGAGAGUUGGCAUGGAAAGACAAUCUUGAGAUCGUCAUGAGAAUGACAAUCAAAUUCUUACAAACUUGAAGUGUACGAAUUUGGUAUGAUAACUAGCACAUUAUACUACAUUUAAAUUGCAAACAGAAAAUGGAAUAUUUUAGAUAAAUCAUGGCAAAAUUUGAGACAAGAACAUGAUCUUCUACAUAAAACCCUUCGCUUUCUUCCUUUUUAUUUCCUUUGGGUUUUGUUUUGUUUUCUAUAUUUCUUUUUUCAAGUCAAUGGUCUUAUUUUUUUAUUAUUAUGUUUCUUGAUUGCAACUUUUUGUGUGAUAGAGAAAACCUAUGCAUGAGUACAGGUCGAGAAAGAUCAAAGAUGCAAGCAACGUAUUAUAAUUUCCUUUGACUUUUUUUUUUUUUUUUAUCUCAAUAGAUUAUCUUAUUAAACGGAAAAACAAAGUUACAAGCGCCAAUGCUCAAAAAACUACCCCUCCCUCACAACAACCUGGCAGAGGGAUGGCACUCCUAGCCUAUCUAGAAAUAAAGCUCCUUGCGCUAAAUGGGGCAAAUCCAAAGCUGCCAAAUAUAUAUCGUCACGGGCCUGCAGACAACCAGUAUUCGCCAAUGUAUCCGCGACCUGGUUCGCCUGACGGUAACAGUGAAGAAUCCGAGGAAAGUGAGACGCCACCCCGAUCAACUGCUGCACCUCAGUGUGAAUGCCCCAUGGGCAACGUACUAAUCGAUUCAAUAUGCGGACUAAAACCAACGAGUCCAGUUCAACGUCCAGGGUAUCGAUGCCCCUCUGGAGACACAACUUGACCCCAAACAACAGGGCGCGGGCCUCAGCCUGCAUGCUCGAAGCCAAACCGAAACUACAUGAAAAUGCCAGCACCAUCCUCCCCCCAUCACGCAGCACCCCCCCUCCUCCACUCAAGCCAGGGUUACCCUUAGAACAACCGUCCGUGUUAAGCUUUAGACUUCCAUAGAAAGGUCGCACCCAUUUCACCAACCUAUGUGAGAUCGCCGUUUUCCAUGUUGAUGUGGCCAAAUAAAACUGGAUCCACGACCACGACGGAACCCGGCAGUCCGGAAACUAGAUCCUGAACAACUGUAGCAUCUCUGAGAAGAUCAAUUGACAUACAUGUGCCCCCACAAUCCUCUUGCCCUCGUACUUCAUACCGUUGCGAGCCUUCCAGAGAUGCCAGCAGAUCAUCAAAGGGACAACCUGAUGGACAAACCUCAAAGGCUUAUUCCGUUGCCGUCCCUCCCACCAGGCUGCCAUGCAUACGCGAAACGAAGACCCUGACCAACCUACUCCAACUGGAGCCCCAAAGAACCUCCACACAUACUGUGCCAUAACCCCAUCACCAAACAAAUGCUCCGUAGUCUCAAUCUCAGGAGAUGGGCAGAACGAACAUCGAGAAGGUCCCUGAAUCCCCAAUGAUAAGUUGUAUUUUUGCGAUUAAUUCUAUGAUUAUUUUCCUCUUUUAUUAUACCAAAUAUUGCGUUAAUUGAUGGAUUCUACUUAUAUUUGGUUAAUGGUGCUAAAUUGUAGGAAAAAGAGCAAAACGUGACAAAAAGGGGCAAUCUUCCAAUUAAUUUGAUGGUGGCACGUUCGGGAUCGAUUUCCAAGUUCGAUUCAAACUCUGGGCAGCUUUAGAGGAAGAUUUGGAAGACUUGAAUUCUAAUUACUAGUCUUAUUGUUGAAUUAGGAAACUUGAAAUACUUUCUUUUGUGGUUUAUUUUGCUAUUUAGGAAACUAGUUCUAUUAGGUAGUAUUUUUCCAUUAGGAAACUAAAGAAGAGAAAGAGCCGGAUCCCGCGUGAUAAAGACUUCAGCUAGCAACAAAUUCGGAUCUUCUUUUGACGGCAGAAAUAAAAGAGGACAAUUGCUUUGUUCUUAUGACUUUUUCUUUGGCUAGUUGGCCGAUUUGGCCAGGAACAAUUUUGUAAGGUUCGAAUAGCUCUUUCGCAUGGUUGUUCUCCAUUAAUGGAGGACUAACCUCUUAAUUCUAGUGAAGGGGACAACUGAAGACUUGGUUCAAUAAUUACUGUGAGAUCUAAUUUAUUUUAAUUGUUUCCUCCAUUUAUUGGUAUUCAUAUGUUUCCUGCUUUUAACUGUUAUAGCUCUUGUGUAUGAUUGAUUAGUGCGCAAUAAGUAAUUAUUCAUACAGGCUAUUUUGCUAAAUAGAGGUAAUUGAAUCCGUAAUUGUUCGUUAUCUCUAUCCCAGUAGCAACUGGCGUAAUUGGGUUUAUGUCAGGGAAACAUACGAUCUAAUUUAAACAAACCCUCGUAGCGUGUUUGUUAAUUAGGAUUGGGCCUUUCUAAUUAUUAAUGCAAACCAGAAAUUAAAUCCUACGGUCGUACCUAGGGUUGUUUUUGGGUUAGGGAAAUAGUUAACGGUCGUACCUUAGCUAUCGAUAAAUUAAGGAAGGGUUGGUUGUUUAGCGCGUGCGAGACAACUAUAACCACUCUAUUAAUAAAUGUUGGAAUUACCUUUGAAUCAAUGAUCAGUUGCAUGAACCAUUUCUGAAGUAUACCCUUGGCUAGAGUUUCUCUUAGUUAUUUCUUUUAAUUAAUUAUUUUCUGCAUUUAAUUUAUUUAGUUGUCGUUUAAUCCCAAAACCCCCUAUUAAUCUUGACUUGAAAAGAAAUAAAUUUCUCGCCAGUCCCUGAGGAGACGACCCUGCUUACCACUGUCUACUAAGUUAGUAAAUUUAGUUAAAUAAUUAAUUCAAGUAUAUCGGAUUAAGCAAACUCUUCGGGAACAGGGUGAAUCAAGUAACCUAUUGCACACCUAGAGUCCCUGCUCCAGUACUCGAAUUGAUUAUUGACUGCUUUAUGUGGUAGUUAGGUUUUAUUUAUUAUUAUUGCACAGGUUCGGCACCUGUCAAUUUUUGGCGCCGCUGCCGGGGACUGGUAACAGAUUAAUUUGUUUCUUUUUGAGUUCAUCUUGUUUUUAUUUUUAUUUAUUUAUUUUUCUCUUAUUUUUUUUAUUAUAUAGUUUAUGGCUUCUAACACUCCGUAUUUUGGUGAUAUACUGGAUUUUGUUUUCGGGGAAGGCAAUGAGACUGAUUGUUUUUCUAAGUUUGCAUAUUUAGAGGCAAUAAACUCUAUUAAAAAAAGAAUGGCUGCUGCAACCUGUAAAAUUUGUUAUGCCAGAGAUCAUUCAACCGGUAUGUGCCCCGAAUAUCAAGAUAAUCUGAAUGUCCCAAUCAAUAAUUAUGGAGAUUUUUCACCCUGGUCUCAAACGUGGUAUAACUCUAAUCCAAACGGGUAUGAUCAAGGAUGGUGGGAUAACUCCAGUUAUGAUUAUACAACAGGGCCAAUGAAUUUUCAGCAGCCAAUGAAUUUUCAGCAGUAUGAGUCUCAAGAACCAUCAUCCAUGUCAGGUAUGUCUCUUGAAGAAAUAGUUGAAUUAAUAGCUACUAACAUAUAUCAAAUUCAACCAGAGGUACAUCAAGUUCAACAGGAGACACAAAGGAUGAGUAAAGAGAUGAAAGAAGCAAGGCGUGAAUGGGCAUUUAAAACGAGCAAAUUGAUUUCUCCAGUUUAUGAAGAAUUGCCCUCACCGACUAUUAUCGACCAUGAGGAAGAUGAGAGUGCAAUUAUUUUGACAAAUGACAUGGUACUGCAAGAGUCUCAAGAAGAAGAAUCUAAAGAUGCAGUUGAAAAGAAAGUUGAAGAGCAGAAAUUGAGACCCCAACAUCAAAUGGUUCAAGUGAAUGAAUCCAGUGAACAAUCUACAAAUGCGGUGACAUCUCCUCCAUUCCUUGAUCAAUAUUUUCCUGACUCUUAUUCUUUAAUUCCUGUUAGUGAGAUUGAUUUUAUUAUACCAGACGAUUUUGAAUUUCAUGCCAGGAAUAAGUUAAGAGUCAUGAUGGCAAAAUAUUUCGAACCAAUAAGUGCUCGUGAUGGAGGAGUGGGUGAAGAUUUAAGAUCAUCACUUGUUUGUUUGGCGCCAUCUACUAUCCCAUGGAAGACCGUAGCUCGUGUGCUCAAGAAUUACUUUAUUUACGAGGGCUAUCAGGAUUACAUAGAAGAUGAAGCACUGAAGCGAGCUACACGAUUUUAUCCUCCAUGAAUAAAUAUGGCAAUGUCUAGCCAAAGACAUUAAAGAAAGGCGCUGCUUGGGAGGCAACCCAAGACUCUUUAUUUUAGUUUUCUUAUGCUUUUUGGAAUUUUUGUUAAGUGUUAGUUGCAUUUAGUGAUUUGUUGCUUUUGUGGCAGGAAGCUAACAGUUAGACGUGCCCUCGCCAGGUGGUCACGCCUGAGGGGAAGAAAUUUUCGUGCAGGUUCUGCGGACUCUAUAGCAGUUAGACGCGCCCACGCCAGGUGGUCACGCUUGAGGGAAAGGAAUUUUCAUUCAGGAUCUGCGGACUCUAUAGCAGUUAGACGUGCCCACGCCUAGGCCAGAGGCUCCUUAUUCUAAAAAAAAAAAAAAAAGAGAAAAAAAUUUUUACAAAAGCAAUUUCAAUUUUUGGAGAAUUUCGGUAAGACUAGUUAAAAAAAAAACAUUUUAUUUUCUUUUUCUUCUUUUCUUCUUUCUUUUCUUUUCUUUCUUUCUUUCUUCUUUUUCUUUCUUCCUUCUUCCCCGCUGCUUUCCCUUUCCCCCUGUCCUUUUCUACUUCAGCCGCAGCCUCCAUGCUCCAUGCCAUCAGAUCGCACGCCAUCAGCUCGCGGCCAAGCCGCGUCUCUCCUCCACUCUCACCUUCCAAGAGCGCCACCCCCUCAGCUUAGCUCGCCGCACCCCACCCACGGCCUGCUCCAUCACCGUGCGCCUCCUCCAGCUUCGUCCGCCGCACGCCGCGGCUCCCUUCCCCAUCACGCGCAGCUCCUCCUGAGCUCGCGCGCCUCCACCGCCACCAGGAGCUCGCUGCGCCUCUCUUCACUGACCAGCUGCGCCUCACCACCAGCUCUUCAGCCCUUCAUCUGCGCGAGAAGCCGCCGCCUCAGCUCGCCACUCCGCCGCUGCCAUCGCGACAGCCCACGAGCCCCACCUAUUUCUCCCUCUCUCUGCCGCACGUCACCUCAACCCCAGCUCAUCCACCUCACGUGCACCUCCUCCGUCGCGCCCCAGCUUCAACCCGCGCCGCCCUCCAGCCAGCUCCACCUCUGCACCUCCAAGCUCCACCGCCAGUCCACACAGCGCAAGCCACCUGUCAAAUUUCUUUGACAGGUGGAGGUAUUGAAUUCUUCCCCAAAUUAGUUUCACUCUCUGAAAGUUGUGGUUGAAUUUCUUGAUGGAUAAGCGACGAUGAUAAUUUGGGCAUUUUCUAGGGUAAAUUUUGAACAGAGUUGGGUUUAAUUGCUGACAUAGUGGGGAUAUUUUCUGCUAUUAUUUGAAUUUUUGGCCGAUUGAUUAAUUUUUCCCUGUGACUCACCAGUGGUACUGGUUGAUUAAUUUUAAAGUUUAAGUUCUUGCGGUUGUGUUACUGCCAUUGAAUUUAAUUCUUUCCUGUCUGUGCACCAGUGGUACUGGUUGCAGUGUUGCUUUCCAUUUCUUAAUCCUCUGUGCUGGACUGCCUAUUCGAUUCUUGAGUUUUGGUGCCUGAACUGUCUCUCGAUUCUUACCAUUAGUUGCUGGAAUUGCUGGUUUCUUGGGUCAUUUGCUAAUUUUGGUGGGUUUAACUGGGUAUUUAACUGUCCAAUUGGAGACAGUUGUUGAGAUUUUGGGUGGGUUUGUGUACAAAUGCUGAAAUUUGUUGCGUUGUUUAGUCACUCGCACUGCUCUUAGUUGGUUCGAGUAAAACUGGUUGGACGUCCCUAGCCCGUGGAGUUUAAUUGUUACAUUGUUUGGGGUGAUUUUCUGGUAUUGAUCGAAUUGUUGGGCAUUAUUUGGGGGUUUUGGCUGCUUGAGACCUCUAUUGCACCCUUAGUUGAGUAAUUUUCUAGGUUGGUUUGUUGAAUUAGUAUUGCCAUUGGUUGACUCUAAGUACCUUGUUUGGGGAGUAUUCAGUUUUGUGAUUUCAAUUGCUAAGCUCAUUGGAGCACUUGCCGAGAUUUUGAGUUGCAUGAUUUCUGCAUUGACUAAUAUUCGGACCACCAUUGCUUAUUGUUUGUAAUAGCUGCUUUGUUGAGAUUUUCGCCUAGUCCUUAGGUGCCUGAAGUUUCCAUUUUCUUGAUUGGGGUGGCCGUUUAUGUUGCUUCAUUAUCUGAGGGAUGCACCAGUGGUACUGGUUGGGGUAUUAUAACUACAUUUGUUGCCACUUGGUUCUAGUUGGUGGGCUACUUGAUCGAAAACUGCCAAACAUUUUGAUUUAGUUGUAGUCCAAAAUUUGAACUACUAUUGCUGGUUUUGACGGUUUCGUGGCUCAUUUGCUAAUUUCGGUUGGUUGAGUGGUGUAAUUUCUUAUCCAAUUGGAGCCAUUUGGACAGAUUUUGGGUGGGCAAGUUUUGUCGCUCUCUGUUGAUCUUUGGGAGGCAUUUCUGACCGUAUUCUACGUAUUCAAAUUGGUUGAAUUCACUGCUUUGUCGAGGUUAUUUUUGGUAUCACUUGAGUUCUACUUUGCUGAUUUCUGUCUUGCGUCCCUUGAAGUGCCUUUGGUUGGGUAUUUUCUUCAUUUGUUUGUUGAAUUGGAAGGCUACUGUGCCACUUCCAUUGCUUAUUGCUGUUGGUGGCGUCUAAUUGACUUGCUGGGAGUAUUUUACCUUUUGAUUUCAAUUGCUAAAUCUUUAGAGCAUUUGUUGCGAUUUUGGACUACAUUGUUCCUGCAUUUGACCCAAUUGGAGCCACCAGUGAGUAUUUGCUGGUUUGAUGUUCUCUGUUGCACUCUAGUUCGCCUGGAUCAAGACGCACGUCGAAGCUCUCCUUCCCUCUACAAUCUUUCACUGCCGCGCAUCACCGUAGCACCAUUUUCACUCCACCGUUCCCACCUAUUCCAUAGCCCCCCGAGACCUUCCACCACGUAUUCAGGGAAGUCCCGUUGCCCUUCGCCUUGCUAUUACUGUUUAUUUGUCACAUUGAGGGCAAUGUGUGAUUUAGGUGUGGGGGAAGUAGUAUAUUGGCAUUUUAUUGAAAAGUGAAAGUGUAGGCAUUUUUGUUGGAAUUUUUGUUUGACUUUGUCGAAUUUUGUCCAAUUUUUGCCUAUCUUUGUGCUUAUUUGUGAUUAUUCCUGAUAAACGAUGGUUAGAUGUCUCAAAUUUUCCUAUUGCUAAAAUUUUACACUUUAAGGUGUUGAGUAUGACAUGGUUGAUUUUAAGGGUAUCUCUUUGGUGAAUAUUUGAGGUUUUGUGACUUUUGCACUUUUUGGUUAACUUUUCUAAGUAUUGUAAAUAUUUGUCUAGCAUUUUUUGUGCAAAUUGGUUCAGCUAUUAAUCUUAGUUCUCCAUGUUUGAGAAAUGAAGCGGGUUUGUGUGGUAUUUAAUUUUAUUUUUGGUGCUUAUUUAUGAAUAGUAUUAGGCUAUACUCCGCUAGUAUCGUUGCCUAGUAACCGGGAGUCUUCACCACAAAUGUCGACUUUCGCGUCAAAACGCGAUGAUAGCUAUGAGUAUGUGGUUUUUAAGCGAUGAUGGCUGAGUAACCGGGCUCCUUCAUAUGGCCAAUGUCGGAGUUCGUGUCAAAACGCUUGAAUGGCUAAAAACUAAGCGUUCCCCCUAAAAAAAUAUCAUCAUUCAUGUGUGGGGAUAUUCUAAAAAAAAAAAAAAUGUGCUAAUAGUGAAAAAUAUGGAAGUGUGUGAAUGAGUUGUUAGCCCGCUGAUUCAUGAAUUUUAAUGUUGAGAUUUUGCUUAAUAGUCGAACCAUUUGCUUAUGGAUGCUGGUUAAGUAUUUUAUAUUCUUAGAUUAGUUAGUCAUAAAUUGAAAGAGUCCUUGAUCUUGAAAGCUAAUUGGAGGGAUAUUCCUUGCAAAUUGCCACUAAUACUUGACAUGUAUUUUAAUUGUAUUUUGGCAAUAGACGAUUUGAGCAAUACCCAUUGUUUGAAUUCGAUUGCUUGAUUUGUUGUUCUCAUGCUUGAGGACAAGCAUGGUUUAGGUGUGGGGGAAAUUGAUAAGUUGUAUUUUUGCGAUUAAUUCUAUGAUUAUUUUCCUCUUUUAUUAUACCAAAUAUUGCGUUAAUUGAUGGAUUCUACUUAUAUUUGGUUAAUGGUGCUAAAUUGUAGGAAAAAGAGCAAAACGUGACAAAAAGGGGCAAUCUUCCAAUUAAUUUGAUGGUGGCACGUUCGGGAUCGAUUUCCAAGUUCGAUUCAAACUCUGGGCAGCUUUAGAGGAAGAUUUGGAAGACUUGAAUUCUAAUUACUAGUCUUAUUGUUGAAUUAGGAAACUUGAAAUACUUUCUUUUGUGGUUUAUUUUGCUAUUUAGGAAACUAGUUCUAUUAGGUAGUAUUUUUCCAUUAGGAAACUAAAGAAGAGAAAGAGCCGGAUCCCGCGUGAUAAAGACUUCAGCUAGCAACAAAUUCGGAUCUUCUUUUGACGGCAGAAAUAAAAGAGGACAAUUGCUUUGUUCUUAUGACUUUUUCUUUGGCUAGUUGGCCGAUUUGGCCAGGAACAAUUUUGUAAGGUUCGAAUAGCUCUUUCGCAUGGUUGUUCUCCAUUAAUGGAGGACUAACCUCUUAAUUCUAGUGAAGGGGACAACUGAAGACUUGGUUCAAUAAUUACUGUGAGAUCUAAUUUAUUUUAAUUGUUUCCUCCAUUUAUUGGUAUUCAUAUGUUUCCUGCUUUUAACUGUUAUAGCUCUUGUGUAUGAUUGAUUAGUGCGCAAUAAGUAAUUAUUCAUACAGGCUAUUUUGCUAAAUAGAGGUAAUUGAAUCCGUAAUUGUUCGUUAUCUCUAUCCCAGUAGCAACUGGCGUAAUUGGGUUUAUGUCAGGGAAACAUACGAUCUAAUUUAAACAAACCCUCGUAGCGUGUUUGUUAAUUAGGAUUGGGCCUUUCUAAUUAUUAAUGCAAACCAGAAAUUAAAUCCUACGGUCGUACCUAGGGUUGUUUUUGGGUUAGGGAAAUAGUUAACGGUCGUACCUUAGCUAUCGAUAAAUUAAGGAAGGGUUGGUUGUUUAGCGCGUGCGAGACAACUAUAACCACUCUAUUAAUAAAUGUUGGAAUUACCUUUGAAUCAAUGAUCAGUUGCAUGAACCAUUUCUGAAGUAUACCCUUGGCUAGAGUUUCUCUUAGUUAUUUCUUUUAAUUAAUUAUUUUCUGCAUUUAAUUUAUUUAGUUGUCGUUUAAUCCCAAAACCCCCUAUUAAUCUUGACUUGAAAAGAAAUAAAUUUCUCGCCAGUCCCUGAGGAGACGACCCUGCUUACCACUGUCUACUAAGUUAGUAAAUUUAGUUAAAUAAUUAAUUCAAGUAUAUCGGAUUAAGCAAACUCUUCGGGAACAGGGUGAAUCAAGUAACCUAUUGCACACCUAGAGUCCCUGCUCCAGUACUCGAAUUGAUUAUUGACUGCUUUAUGUGGUAGUUAGGUUUUAUUUAUUAUUAUUGCACAGGUUCGGCACCUGUCACCCAACUUCCAUACGGAACAAUCCAAGGGGAGGCGAUCCCGCAGCAAGCGCAAGAGGAAAAACAAAACUCUCAGCGGCACCCCUAGAUGCCAAAUGCGAUUGAAUAGCGGCGAAGGCCCAGAAUGAUGCUGGACCAAGGAGAAAGCCGUCUUGAGCGUAAAACGGCCCGAUGGCUCCAGUCGCCAAACCAUUAGGUCAGGAAGUGACCCGACAGGUGGGUGCAUUUGACCAAUCUCCGCAACUAUACCUAGAGGUACCCAUUGUGAAAUCCUGCGGACGUCCCAGGAACCGCCUUGCACAAAACCCGCCACCUUGUGGUCCGACACGCUAUCCAACCGAUCCGCCAGCCCCCCAGUACCUAGCCAAUUGUCAAACCAAAAAUUAGAGCUCCCGGACCGGAUGAUCCAUCCAAUGUGCCUCUCCGCCAAGGCUCGGACUUUCACCAUCCUUCUCCACCCCUCUGAGCCCUUCUCGGACUAAGUUUACUGUAAUUUCACUUCAAUAGAAAGGAAUAAGUUGUAAAUAAGGAACCAACUUUAGCCAUUCUUGGAGUUGAGAAUCAUUGUCUUCCUUUGCUUCAGCUUCUCUUCUCUGAGGAAAGCUUUCAUGCUCCCGAGUUCAUCUUUGAUGAAUUGAACAUCUGAUUUAAUCCCUCCCAAAAGCGUGAUCUCUUGGGAAAGCAAGGUUGAGAGCUGGUUAAUCAAAAAACCUACAACACUCUCUGCCAUGGUGCUCAAUCAAAUUUCUCAAGAGUCGGUUUUCUUAUCAAGAAAAUUUUGAGAGUUGUUCCAAAUUUCAAAAAAUAUGCUAUUUUUCUUUUUCUUUCUUUCUUUUGUAGUAUAGAGGAUGCAGAAUUAUAUGAAUUUGAAAGAAUAGCUAUUCAAGAAUGAUAUAAAUUUGGGAACAUAUGCUUUUUUUUCCCUUUGUGGUAUAGACGAUGAGUUUUGUUUGGCACUUUGGCAGUACAAAUCAAAAGUUAUUAUAGUCAAAAAGUAUAUAGACUAUAGAGCAUAACCUAUAAAAAUAGGUAAAGAAUAACUAUUCUCUUGGGCUAAGAAAGGCAUAGAGAAAAUUUUGGAUUUCUUUUGAUUGUUUAAAUUGGAAAGGAAGGUAUUUGUCAUGUGGAAUCUAACAAUCUUCAGAUAAUGUUCAGUUCCUUCUUAUGUUUUCUUAAUUUGCUCCAAAAAGAAACGGCUAACUAUGAUUCUAAGUAAAAGUAAUAGAUAGGAAAAAAAAAUGCUGUUCCUAAGAUCCAACUUACUUUGGUAAGGAUGACAAUCAGAUAAAGGUAAAAUCCUUGAUUUACCUCGAUUUACCUCUUAUGCCUUCCCUUUAUCUCUUCUCACUUACAAGCUUUGGGAAAAAAAAUGUCUUUUAUUUUGGGGCUAUAAAGGAUGCAUUUUACAUGAUCUAUCCAAUCCAAGAGUGACAGUAGUUUCAAAGGAAAUCAUUCUUGAAAUUAAUACUUUGGUAAUACUUGCAAAGUAACAUAAAGUCAUUGUAAUGAAAUAAAGAAAGGUUUGCCUACCUGCAACGAAAAACAUAUUAAGCAUAACCUAAGAAAUGGCCCAAGGAUAUUAGAAUACACAUAUUCUCACGCUAAGAAAGGCAACGAUAAAUUUUGAUUAGUUGAGUUGGAAAUCAAGGUAUUUGUCAUAGUCAAUCUAAUAAUAUUGUUGAGAAAUGUUCAACUCCUCUUCUAUGUUGUUUUGAUUGGCUUCCAAAUGUGUAGCUAAGAUUCUAAAUAAAACCAGCUGAAAAGAAAAAGUUGACAUGAGAAAGACGAUCUACGGAUUUUAGGAUGAUAAUAACCACGUCAUAUUUCAUUUCAAAUGCCAAUGGAGAUUGGAAACUGAACUAUUUGGAGUGUCAUUGAGGAAAACGUACGUCUAUAGGCAGUUGCAGAAGAACUUGUAUAUAAGAAAGUGCUUUUUUGCAGAAAGCUCCUCCCUCUGUCUCUAUCUCUCUUAUGUAGUUUUAUAUAAAAUGGAAAAUGAGAAGAAAGUAACUCCAAUCAUAAGAAAUGACCUAAAGGCGCUCGAGGGACACGUGUGAUGAAGUUAUAAUAUUUAAUUAAUCCUUCUAUUAUUUCAUGUAUAUCUACAAAAUACUCCUAUAAUUUUAUGAAAAGUUGUUCCUCCCCUCCUUCCCCUCCCCCAAUAUUUUAUUUGGUACUUGAGUAAGUGAUAAGAGUUUAUUUUACGUAUUUUUAAGUGCAUUUUAUUAGUUAAUUUUGAGUUGAUUAUUUAGUUUUAUAAAUAAAAUAAGGAGGUUUUUGGGUAAAAUUAUAUAUUUUUGGUAAAAGUGGAUAAUAUUGCAUUUUAGUGAUUUUAAUGGUAAAAACUUCAUUUUUAUGCAGGAAUGAUGAUUCAAUCACCAAAGGAUGUCAAAUGAGGUGAAAAAUAGAAAUUUGGUGAUGAAUUCAAGUGGUAACAAGAAGAAUGAAGUGAAAAACGUUCAAGUGAGGAAAUGCAAUACAAGUCAGUUUUGACACUCUUUGGUAUUUUGACCAUAUCUGGAGCUACACUUAUCGGAUUGAGGUGUUCUUUAUACCAUUUUAAAGCUAAGAAACAGACCUACAAUUCAUAUGAAGACAUCGAAAUCCAAUUCUGCCAUUUUCAUGGACAAAAAGUCAGAAUACCAAAGCUGCAUUCUGUGGUCGGAAGUUAAAACAGAGGUUUGACCAGGUGUUAGUAUUUCGAUCAUAUCUCAGGCUACAAAACUCUGAUUUUGGAUGAUUUUUGAAGCAUUGGAAAGCUAACUCAAAGGGCUACAACUUUUGUGUUUUGCACAAAAGCCAGUUCGGUCUUCAUCAUGGAGAAAAUCGCAGUUGAAAUAAGGCCAGAGUGAAAACGCGAGUAGAAAAAACGCGAGUUUAUGCCGCGUUUUGUGUAGGCACGUUUUGUAGCCGAAAAUCUGCAAUUUGCUCAGCCAUUCCUCUUGUGUUCAGACUACUUUCCAGCUAUAAGUUGCAAGGGAAUUCGGUGCACAUGCUUCAGAAGACCAAAGGGCAAGAAAGGGGGCUUAUUUUCAAGUCAAAAAUAUUAGUUUUUGACUAUGCUAACAAAGUGGAGAUUUGGGAAUCAAAGGUUAGAAUUUGACUUGGAAAAAUGGAGCCUUUGAGUAGUUUUUAUGCAGAGACAUUGAGGGAGGUCUGGACAUCCAGACGUAGCUAGUAUUCUCACCAAAAAAAAAAAAAAGUCUCUCUGGCUAGGUACUUGCAAGGGGCAAUUGAGGUUUCAUCUUGUAAUCAUCUAAGUUCAAGACAAAGGAGAUUUUUGGAAGGCUUCACCAUAUCUUGGCUAAGGCUUUCUUUACUCUUUUUGUAUUUGUAAUUCAUAAUGAUUUGUAUUAAUGAAGUUAUGAGUGUUUCAUCAUGCAUGAGUAGGUAAUUUCCUUUAUCUAGGGAGUAGAUGAAGCUUAUGGCCAAGUGAUAUGAAGUGAUUGUGAUUUAUACUUGUUAUAUCUUGUAUUAACUUAUCUACUUGUGUAUGUUGGAUUACUUGUUGUUGUUUGAUCACCAAUAGCAGGUUUAUACUUGUUUUUACUCAUUGAGAAAUGGUAAAAAUAAUGGAAUGACAUAAGUAGAGCUUGAGUAGUAUAUUCAUGAGAAUAGAAAUACAUUCAAGUGGAUGAAAUCUACAUUUCCUGUAUGCACAAAACAGAUUUAGUAUUUACCAAGAUAUUAGGAAAAACUAAUCUGUUUUAACCCAUUAUUAUCAUGAGAAUGUGAUUUUGGUAUUGUUGGAAAUGAAUCCUUGGUUAAACAAGAGUAGUAACAAGUGUUAAAUUCAUUCGUUUUAGAUCUUUUGUGUUAUAUGUGGAAUCUACAUCCCUAGAUCUUAAUAUUUAGUGAAUUCUACUCCUAUUGUGAAAUUGCGUUUAUCUAGUUAAGAAUUUUUGUAGUUGAAUUAAAUUCUGAAUUUUCUGCUCAAAUUUAUUGUGAGUCUAAAUAAUAGAGUAAAUUAAUAUCUAAUAAUUGUUUUAAUUGCUCCUCGUGGGAUCGACCCGAUACAUACCCAAUAUUACGAUUUUGGCCUGUAUACUUGCAGUAAAACGGAUAUAAUUCGGAAUUAAACUUGCACUUAAAGUAAAAACCCGUCAGUAAGGGCAAUACAAACAUUUCAAAUAACGAUUGUACAAAGACUCCUCUAUGUCAAAUUUUUAAUUUAUAUAAAAUUAUAGUGGGGAUUAUGUGAAUAUUUUGAAAGAUUAGACUUUAAAAGAAUCAUGUGGUGAUAGACUAAACCACACUAAAUACAUAGUUAUUUACCCUGUAUCCUAGUUAUGGAUCUUGUUUUUGCAAUGCAGCAUUAUGACUGCCAAGUUAUAAGAUGAGACUUUUUCUUGUUCGGCUGAAAAGCUUUUCAUAUGCGAGUUUACUAUCAAGAAACUAGCUUCAAACGUCUGUUUCUUCUGGCACAGAAGUUAGAAGAUCACGAAGAUAUUCAAAAUCAUAAUCUGAAACUGAAGUCCGGCUUCCAACUGAAGUCAGCAUAUUAAGUUUUUUUGCAUUAAUCCGUACAAUCUGUAGCUAUAGAUGGAAUAAUAAGCACUACACCAAACUUCAUUUUUAUACCCUUUGAACUUUGUUAUGUUAGCUUAAAAUGUUGGUCCUAAAUAUCUUUGCACUUUAUCCUAUUUUAAUACAUCUGUUAGGAGGGUGAUACUGUCAGCGCAAUUACGUUCUUUCUAGAGCACUUUACAACAAAUAUCCAUAUGAUCAUUACAAAAGUUUAACACUAAGUUAGACAUAGGAUCACCAUAUAUUUCAGACCACUCCGUCCCACUCUCGUUGCCCCAUCUCUCUCAAAAAUCUCAAUGUCCACCGAUCGCGAAAAUUGCAUAUUCAAAAGUCCGAAAGUGUUCAAAGCCACAUUCAUCAUAAACUACCAGUGUAAGACUUCAACAGGUAAAGGCAUUAGCCAGAGCCCAUCUACCAUAAACAUUUGCAAGCAACUUGCAAUGGAGUUUCUUUUACUUGAAAAAAAAAUGUGAUGAAGUAUAUGAGCAAAUUACUAGAAAUAUGACACGAUUAUCACAAAUAAACAGCAUGCUUUUCGUUUAUGUAAUAUGAACUGUUAGUUACAUGUAGUUUCUUAGCUAUCUUUAUUUUUUCUUGGUAUAAUAGAUUUGUAAGUUUUUUUUUUUUUGUUUAUUUGUGUGUUUUUCUAUUUGUUUUGGUAGAAUUUGGACCCCACCUUCUACUAGGGUUGUGAAGUGGUGUCUUUGAGUUCAAUAACACAUCAACAUGCAUCAAGGAGCAUUGUGCAAGUAAGAAGAAAACUUGAUUAAUUAAUCUUAUAUUAGUUUGACAAGUCACUAUUGUAACUUCACACGUUUUCUAACAAUUUUUAGCAUUAGAGUUUUUAGGGACAGAAUCUGCUAAAUAAUGAUGACAUUGACCAACAAGUUGCUAAAGAUGAAAAACAUUGAAUGAAAACGCUUUUGAAUAAAUGGACGAUGAGAUUGUGGUCAUGGAUUAGUUAUGCCUGUCAAUGGAUUAAACCAAUUUGAUUUUGACCGUCAAUUAUUGGAAUGUUUCGUCAAUUGUUCUAUAUUUGCCUAAAACCACAAACUUUAUGGAGAAGAUUUUUUUUUUUUUGGGUUAAAACAUUAAGGAUCAUUUUCGCGUAAGCUAAACAUUUGGGAUUAAAACUGCAUUUCUUCCUCAUUUCACUAUCUCUUCUUUGAUUUUCUCAAAAGAAUAAACCUUUUGAAUUGAUUUUUUAAACAGUCGAAACAGCCUUCUUGAACUUAUUUUUUUGUUCUUUACAUGCGAAGAAAGAACUUCAUUUAAAAAUGGAAAUAAGAUAAAUGUUUGAAUACUUCUAUUCGUGUCAAGCUUAAAUUCUUUUCAUCAAUUUUCUGAACUACCAACCUCAAUUAAAAAGAAAAGACUUCUUCAAUAAACCCUAAUAAAACUUGCGUACCUAGCCUCAAACGUAAUCAAACCCUAAUUGCCUAUUAAUCAGUUUGUCUAUUCAUUAACUACUGCAAUUGCCCUAAGGCUUCACAGUUGCUAUAAAAUAGUUCCUUUGCCUUUUUCUUCACUACCAAAACCAUUCUUUCCCUACCAUUGUACAUUUUCUAGCAAUGGCAAAAGCUUAAAAUUGCAAGGGCCUACUUGAUCACAUGAAACUGGAGGAAAUCAAUGAUAUUUCAAAACCACAAGUUUGGAAGAAUUCCUGAAUUUUAUCAAUUGCUUCUAUCUUCUAUAGGUAAUAGUUCUAAAUAUUGAUCUUUUUCAUUAUUUUUUUUUUAUUAGAAGCAUAUAUGUUACAAGUUUGAACAUAACAAUUCAAUAUUUUAAUUAGAGAUCUUUUUUUUGGAUAGUUUAAGUUAUAAAAAAUAAUAUAUUUGUAGAAAAGAGGUCAAUUUGUAGUAGUAUGCCAAUAUAUUGGCUUUUUUUGGAUUGCCAUUCUCUGGACAAAAAUCUCAUACUUUUUGGGAAUAUUUUCUUGACACAUUUUUCAAUAAUCUUUUUACAUCAUAUACAUCACAUCUAAAAAAAAGUGUUACAAUACUUUGUUUCUAAAAAAGCCCGUUUAAAAAAUGCAAUCCAAACAAUAUAAUUCCAUGAUCAAUCAUAGUUUCAUUGCAAUUAGGAACUUUUUUCUACAGUUAGAAUAAAAAAGCUAAAAAAGAAAAUUAGAACCUCGACAACAAAAUCGAUCAUGUGACUUGACUUUCAUGAUUACUUGAAAUAAUUCUAGUCAAGGUGAAAAUAACUUGUAGUUUUUUGGGUAAAGGUCAAAAGGCUGUUUGGGUACAAAAGAAUAUAGUAGCAAACUAUUGGUUUAAAUUUAAUUUCAUUUAAAUCAAUAGAAGGGAAGGAUUGCCUCGGAUUUUUGUGCUAAUUCAUUUCCCUCUCAAUAUGAGUAAGAAAGGGAAUUUGGGAAUCCGAUGAUUGGAGUAGGAGUUUGCUUGGUUCGAUAGGUUAGUUUGGUAAUUUUGAUUAGGGCAAAUUACAUUUUAGCCCCCUAUGGUUUAGCGUUUUUUUAUAUAACCCCCCUAUGGUUUCAAAAGCUAUACAUAACCCUCUCAUGAUUUGGAUUAAAGUGUCAAAGUGACGGAAAUAGUCAUUCAUAACGGAACUUCUAGAAAUGUCGUAAUUACCCUUAUAAAUACAUGACACACUAAUCCCGUACGAUUUUUAUAUUUUACUAUAUAACUCCCUUAUGGUUUAAUAUUUUACCAUAUAACCCCCUUAUGGUUUUCAAAAUAUACACAUAACCCCCCUUAGUUAAUAAAUAAUUUUCAACUUUACAUAAGAGUAUUUUUGACAUUUUAGGUGACUCCGUUACGAAUGAUCAUUCCCGUCACUUUGACGCUUUAAUCCAAACCAUGAGGGGGUUAUAUAUAAUUUUUGAAACUAUAGAGAGGUUAUGUAAAAAAAUAUUAAACCACAGGGGGUAAAGUGAAAUUUGCCAUUUUGAUUAUGACAUGUGCUUUAUUAUAUUUUAGGAAUAUAAGAGAAUUUGCCAAAACAUAUAUCUCUUUAACAAAUUUAAAUCUUUCUAUUACUACUACUCAAAUUUUUGCAAAGGGAGAAACACGUUUUGGUACUCAAUGUUUGACUUGUAUAUCAAACUGGUCCGAAUGUUUUAGCCAAAAUAAAUCUAUUAUCCAAAUUUUCUAAUUUUGACUUUACAUUUUUAGUUCCUAAUGUUUGAAGUUUCGAUCAAUAUGGUCCCUUUAGUUUCAAGUAGUUAUAGCUGGGGGCUUUAAAAUGGAAAAAAAAAUGUGAAUUGAAUUAAAGAUAUGACAAAUGUCUUCCUAAAAUCCCUAAAAAAUUUCAUAAAAACACUUUAUGUCAACACAAUAACAUCUUUGAACUUAAAGAGUUUUUUUUUUGAAUAAGUUACAAUCGGAUGACAAUAUAUCCAUAAUAUAUAAAAUAAAAAGAAAAGGAGAAUUCUAGUUUUAAUAUAAAAUUUAUUAGCAUUCAAACUAGUCUACUACACAAGUUCUUGCAUGACUUGUGCACAUGGUCCUUAAUUUGUUAUAGUUAGGAAUUGUAAUUAUAAAAGCUAGUAAACAUAGAUACCAAUAUGAAGUGCUUUUACUCAUUAUGGGUUAAUUAUCAAUUAAUUACUUAUAGUAUAAAACUAUAAUUACAUUUAUUAUACCAAAUUUGAGACCAAUUAUGCAAAAAGGAAGAAGUAUACGAGACAUUAGUGACAUGAAUAAAUGAAAUAAAAAAUAAAAAGUUUAAUUAGAAUUGCUAGUACCCAUUUAAGAUAAUUGCGUUGUAAUUCGCAUCUUAUUAUAUCCAAAUACACUCAAUAUCACUAAUGAAAACUUAAGCGACUAAAAUGAUUAAAAUUUCAAACAUUAGGGAUUAAAAGAGCAAAAUCAAAACUAUUAAAUAAUGGUAAUUUGAUUUUAACCGUUACUCAUUUAUUGACUUUCCAUCAAAUGUCCUUAAUGCAACUAGUAUCAGAAAUCUUCAAAACCACAUUUAUUUUGGCCGGAACAUGAGAGACUAGUUUAGCACAUAUGCUAAAAAAUGGAGACUAAAACUACAAUUCACUCCAUUUCCAAAAGAAAAAACUACACCUUCUUUUGUUUUAUUUUUGUGCACACAUGUGAUUUUUUUUUCUUUUUUCACCUUUGAUGUCACACAAUGGUCCAAACCAGCUGACAUCUGCUAAUAGAUUCAACUGUUAAAAUGUCUGUGUGAAUUAUGAGGACGGUAAUAAGUAGAAAAGUUUUGUUUGGUAUGAUUUUGGGUAGAAUGACUAAAUCAUUUAGUUUAAAUUACAUUUUAGUAAACUAAGUGGAAGAACUAGGUUAUAAACCUCAUUUAUACCCAAGAAAAAAAGAGGGGGGAAAAUAAAUAUAAGUCUUGUUUGCUACUUUGCCAUACAAAUUACAAUCCAUUAAUUCAAUAUACUGAAAGGGAUAAUUUCACAUACCUCCCCUGAGGUUUUUGAGAAUUACAAGAUGCUCCCCUCAAGUUCUAAAAAUUACACCAAUCUCUCCUAUUUUAUUAUUUAAGUAACAUUCUAGACCCAAAAUGCUAGAUUUUUUUUUCAAAAAUCCUGUAAUGCCCUUGAGUUAUAAUUCACAACAAAAAUAAAAAGGAAAAAAAAAUGGUUCAUAGUCUUUAUUUCAUUCAUCCUUACUUGUUAUCACUAUUACCUACCUUCAAUGUCCAAAUCACCACUAAAUAAAUACAUAUCUUUGUUCUAAUGUUCCUCUUUUCCUUAAAAAUUGUUGAUACAGACCAUUGUAUCAAUUAUAAAUGCCGCUUCAGAUGCCCAAAAGCUUACUUAUAAUCUUAUAUCAAUAUCAAAUUUUACUUAAUACAUUACAAUAUUUAUCAAUAUCCAUAAAUUUCAAUUCCAUGGUUGCCACAUUUUUAAUACAAAAUAAUCUAAAUCAUCACUACUAAUAUCAAUAUCCAAUAUACUCUAGUGGCACAGAGUUCAAAAACCAAAUUCUCUCUAUAGAAAUAACAUCAAUAAUUGUAAAUUAAAAAUAGAAACACAAUGCAAUUAUAAAUAUAUCAGGAACAUUUUUUUUCAUAACAACCAUAACAGUAUAACUCAUAUUUAGUUUCUAUUCCACUUCCUAUCCUUAAUUUUUUAUUUUGUAUCACUACCACUAUCCUCAUCUCCAUCUAAUUUGAAAAUGAAAUUAUCAUUCAAUUUAUCAUUUGUCAAUUUCAAUUUGCUAAUGUCUAUCAAAAAUUGGAAACAAAAAUGAGCAUAAAGAAACUAUUUAAUAAUAAUAAAAAAGAGAGAAUUGGGAAUAGAUACCGAGAUAGGUAAGUAUUGGUGGUUUGGUGUGUAUGGUGAUUUUAUUAGUGACGACAGUAUAUGAUAAAGAGUUAAAUGGAAAAUAGUGUAGUUUGAGUUAUUGGUAGAUAAUAAUAAGAAGUUUUAUUAUUUGAUAAAAUUUUUCAACGAGUUGACAAUUAAUGAAGGGUAUUGUUAUCUUUUGAUCAUGUUAAGGGAGGUUUUGGUAAUUAUAUAAACCUUAAGGGAGUCGAGUGAAAUUGUCAAAAAUCUCAGGGAGAUUUCUGAAAUUAUCCCAUACCGAAAUUGAAACCCAAGUAGACUCGGAAAGGAAUGAAUGCCGAAAAACUUGGGACACCAAAAACAGAAGAAAAAGCAAAAGAAUUGGCGGAAGAAGCAAUGAAAGUGGAACUGAAAACCAAGGAGGAGCUGAAGCCAUGGGAGCAGCAUUCUGCUGUGAUCAGCAUUCCUCGUUUUGAUUACAACGCCCCUUCUUCUCUCCUCAAUCAUUCCCACUCCGGCUUCCUCAUCACCUGCCCCAUCGCCAUCAGUAAGGCCUCUCUUCCCAUCUCUUCUGUGCAGAAAGUUAUGUUCUUUUUUACUCUUCUGUUUUGUUAUUUUUGUAAUUUAUUCGCUUCUUUUAUGUAAUUUGCAUCUGGGUUUUUGAAAAUUUUCAAUUUGAUUGUUUGGGUUAGUUUGGGCAGUGUGGAGAUUGAUAAAAAUGCUUCCUUUGUCUAUGUAGAGAGGGAGAAUAGUGCAACAAAAGAAGCCAUGUCAAUUCUUGAAAAAGUAAUGAAUUCUGCUGGUUUUGUUUCUUCUCAGUUCUCGGGAACAAUGUCAAAAUAAGGAAAUUUUAGACAUAAAGAAAAUUCAUGCUAACUUGAGAAUCAGGACAGUUGAAUUAUUUUACUGAAGUUGGUUUGGUGGGAUUCUUAAUUUCUUAGCAAGGUUGGGAACUUGGCGCUUUUGUAAGUGAAUAAGACUGUAGCGGGCUUGAAUUACCGGUAUAAUGUGUUUGCUGCUGUAAUUGUUUUGGUUUAAGAUGAAUAGUAGCAAUGUUAUGGAAUAGAUGUUUGAAUGAUUAAGCGUAAGUAAACAGCAAAUGGGAUGGCAACUAUUAGAUAAAACUCGUGAAGUUUGGAGAACUGGGUGAGCUAUGCAGAAGGUAGGUACAGGCAUGUUGUAUUCUUCAAACGCAUUAGGUAUUAAGGGAGGGAGGAAAAACAAACAAACUAAAGUUGUUUUCCGUUUUAAAUGUGAUAAAUGUAUGGAAAUGAAGUGUAAUGCUAAUGGUCUUCAUUUGUGAGAAAAAUGGCAAAAUAAUGCAGUCGACACUGUUUUCAUCUGUUGAACUUAGUUUAGGAAAAACGUUUAUCAUUUUUGGGUUCUAAACUUGAUUAAGAUUUCAGUUGGCAGACAACCAGAAGGAUAAGAUGUCAAUUAUCCUGCCAAUAGGUUAUUAACAUCUGAGUCUAGUAGCUGGCUUUAAAUUUUUUUGCUGAUGAUCUUCCACUUCACGCAUUUAUUUGUAAUUAGUGCAUUGUUAGGUCACAGAUUAAUAUGGUUUAUUCCUUGUUUACAUCUCUUAUUCACCUUGCUUUGCUCACACUCUGUCAUUUGUCACUUGGUUCAAUCAAGUGACUCCGCUUAAGUCUGCUGUGCCUUCUUGAGUAAAUGACAUGAUUUGUCAUCCACAAUGCAACACUGGUUUAGUUCUUUAUCACCCACAUCUUUCCAGUGUGUAUAUAUGAAUGGGUUACUAUUUUCCUUGAAUUUGAAGAGGCAUAUGUAUACAUAGUCAGCUUAAGCUUGAGUACACUACUUAUAUAGGUUAAGGACAAAUUCACCUUACUAAUAUAGAAGUUUUGCAUUGUUUUCUUUGAAAAUAAAACAGAAACAAUUUAUAGAAGAUAUGCAAUAUUUUGUACCGUAAGAAAAAAAAUUAUAAAUAUAAAAGCAAUUUAAUAAGGAUAUGAUUAUAUUUCUCUGGAGAAUGACAUGGUCUUAAGAAAUCAUAAUUCUGUUAGGAGAAGACCAUGAGUCCAAUUUUGUAAGACAUUUUAGACAUCAGUAUUGCAUGCAUGAAUUAUUUAGCUGAUUGCCAAUCAUGUAGCAUAUGGUCUUAAGAAAUAGAUAUGUAAGCAUCAUUUUUGCUUUUAAAAAUAGAAAGGCAUUCUUUGUUGCCGUAUCUUUGGAUAAUGGUCCUUUGUCCAUACUUAAAGGAACGUAUAUAAGCGUGAGAUGUUGCACUCUUCUAGGACUAUAAGGAACCAAAUAAUAGGAGGACGAUUUAGAGUUUGCUUAAAAACUUGUGGCAGACAACUUUUAGGAAUUGUUUUUGGAUAUAUUUACACCAGAAGCCAAGCAUUGCCGCAGCUUAUCACCAUGUGAAAGAGAUGAAUGAGUUUCAGUCAUAUUUGAAGUCCCCUCCAAAGCCUGUAUCAUUUUGUGUGUAGCAAAAGGGAGACAAAGCGUGAACCAACUUGGAGAAUGGAGAGGUGUGCAUCUGUUCCUUGCAAGAUUCUAUUCUUUUGACUUCAUGGAGUUUUUAUAAAAGCUGUGUAUACUGAAUGUUUUCUUAGGGCUUCAAACUGAUUUUGAUACAUUGAUACAUGUAUGCAUUCUGUUCUUUUCCUUAUGAAUGCCACCAGCAUUCACAAUUGAUGCAACCAAUAAAGAGUUUAAGGGAAUAUUAGAUUGAAAUAUUCUUGGGAACUUGGCUGAAGAUUGAGUUUACCCACUUCAAAAAAUGGGUAACCUUUUUAGGAUCUUGAGUCAUUUAUUAGAAGUUUUAAGUUCUACAUAUUUCAGUAGACUUAAAAUUUAUGGUGCUUUAGUAGUUUAUAGGUUUUUAUGUGUUAUGGGUAUUGGAUAAACUAACAGUGGAGGGCACUUCAGUCAUUGUUUGAGACCAUGAGGCUUAUACAUUGACUUUGAUGGAAGGGUUCUUAAUUGAAAUGUUGUGAUUCGUUGCCUCAAGUUCGUGCCAUAAGAUAUUCUGGUCCCUGGGGCUGAAGCCUGGUACAAACUGCAUGUUCCACCAUACCCAUAGCCAGACACCCAGGUAUUUUAGGCCAUCCAUGAAGGAGUUAAAGUUAUCCAUUGGUGAAUUUUUAUGCAUGGCUAUUCUAUGUAAAUGGUUUUCUCAUGAAAACUGGUGGAGAACGGGAGUCUGGUCUAGCUCGUGCUGAUCUAUCGUUGUUCUUUACGUUUUUUUGUUUUUUGUUUUUUUUGCAUUAAUUUGUACAAAAUCUGAUUGACUUUUAGCACUUGUGAUCUUAGAAGAGUGCAUCUUGCAAUAGAACUUUUUUCUCUAAUCAGGUUCCAUCAUGAUAGCUGUAUUAAUUUAUGAAAUAUUGGUUAAAGGAGUGACGCUUAGCACAAGAAUAAUCAGAACUUGGUUGUACAACAGACGGUCUAGGGAGCAAUUCUGACAUAAUUGUUUUACAUGAUUGUUAGCAGAGAACUUGCAGUUAAAUGAAUUGUAGUUCUUUAAGACAAUAGCCUGUGAUUUUUAGAUACUCAUGCAGCCGAAUUUGUGCAGAAUCAGCAUGAAUGAUAUUUCUUCACCAUAUAUAUAUAUAUUUUUUUGGGGUUUAGGUGAUCUGAUUGGAUUCAUUGAAUUUCAUGUGUAUGAACCAUCUCCAUGGGAAAGCCUGCUUGCAUCUAGUGAGUGUAAAGUGUAGAAAUCAGCUUAGUGUCCUGUCACCUGUAACUGCAGUACAUUUUCUUACAUGUCUUCUUGUGUAUGUAAAACUAAAUAAGUUAAUUCAAGUCAAGUCAUGUUUAUGUUCUGUGAGAUGUUGACCAGUUAUAUGGUAAAAUAUUCUUUGCAGUACUCUAAAUGCUGAAGGUUUUGAAAGUUUGGAUGCGAAUAUGUCAGCUAAGAGCAGAAUAUCUGUAAGUACAGAGGAGGAACUUGGCAACAGUAUGGAGAGGAAAGAUGCAGACGAUGACUUUGGAGAACCUGGUAAUAGUUUAACUCUGGUAUUUUAGGUUAUACACAUGCUCCUACAGAUAGUGCAAAUUACCAUGUAUAACUACUGAAAUUCCUCCCCCCCCCCCCCCCAAAAAAAAAAAAAACUACCUGCAAAUCUACAAAUUAAAUGAAGAGCUGCCCCGGGGGGGGGGGGGGAUUUGUCUGCAAGAAUAGGUAAUAUUGCUUAUAUGCAUGAAAUAAUGAGAAGAAGUUUAUUAAAAAAAUAUGUUACUAUAAAAACAGGGAAUGAGUAGUUAAUUGAAGAAGGGUAAAAAAACAUCUUAUGAUAGCUGCAUCCCUCUGACAUACUUAUUUAGCCUAGUUUGACUUUGUAAAAGCCUCUAAUACUGCCCAUAUGUGAGAAUUCUUCCCCCAACCUACCUUUAGCAAAAGUAUUCUGCUUACCCAGUUUGCUACAAAUAGUUUAUGUGAGAGGUAUGUAUCUGUGAAGGUUUUGGCUUCUUAAAAGAGAUGAUUUCAAGGCAAGAUUUGGUGGAUUGCAAGUUACAAAGAAUUGCUGGAGAAAACUUGUACAACCCAAAAUAUUAGCAGCGGACAAAGGAUGAAAUGGGAUUUCCCUUGCAAAAAUGAAUAGAUAGCUGUGUUUCAUUGGACAAUUAGCUGUUAGAAUGAAUGAACAGAAUGUACUCUAAAAAAGUUGUACAAGUUUUAAGUAAUUGUGUUGUUUCAAUUGUCUAUUCUGUCUUUCAACAGCCCCAUAUUGAUGUAUGGUGUGUGAACUGGAGAAGAACAAUAAACAAUUCUUUUCUUAAUGACAAAAGCAAUGAAAGAAUCAGAAAGAUAAUUGUAAUUUGGUACUUACAAAAAAACAUGUAGAUAUUAUGGUGUCUUAACUUCCCCGUUAAGGUAGACAGUGAAGCAGAAUAUCUUAGAUCACACACUACAUUCAGCUAGCUAGGGCUUGAUUAUCAAAAUUACAGAAAUCAUGUUUAAAAAAUAAGUUUCAAAAUGCACUAAGAUAGAGGACAUAUUGCUCAUUAAUUAACUUGGAUAUCAAACAAAAUAUGAUUGUGCUUCCUCUAUUCAGAGAGGAUUAAAACAUAAAACCCAAAAAUAAGGAACUUAAACAAUUUUGGUCUGUAGUCGGUUUGGCAGAGAACUUGAGUCAGUUUGGCAUGUAGUCAACUUAUCACAGGCUGGUGGUGGUGGUAAACUCCGUGCUUGGAAACUCAAGAAGCAAAUGAUGGCUUUAAGCUUAAGGGUAACUUUUGGUUCCUGUAGAUCCCCAAUUUAUGGCUUGGGAGGAUUCUAUUUUCACCUUACUGAAGAUGGUCCUAAUUAUGUCAUGAAGCCUGACGAUGAAGAGGAUCACGCAGUUUACUUCAACAAUGCCCCUCCAAGCCUGAGAAUGGGUGGCUCAAAGUUCCUCCCAUGCUUGCAUGCAGAUUUUUGCCCACUCACCAAGCAAUCAGUGGUAGCAAAAUCUAUGUCCUUAUGGAAUGAGGUAGACGAUCAAUGGGCAUCCUCUGAGCUGUAAUUUUCCAUUUGGUGAACCUCCUGUUGAAGGAUCUCUCUCUUUCCCUCCAUUGGAACAAGAAUUUGCCCCUCAGCGCCACAUCCUGUUUCCUAUCGGUGCUGGGGAUCAAGUUGUUAUUGUGUGUUUUGAUGCGGAAAUUGACAAAAGUGUUCAAGGUUUGUCGAGGAUCGCGAUUGGUUCAUUAUUAUCCCUCGUGUGUGGAAGGGAAUUACUUGUUCACAACUUUCGGCAUCAGUGUUUUUGCCUAUCAUAUAUUUGACAGGAGUUUAUUUGAAUGACCUGCUCCGUUCUGUAGUAAAGUCAAAGGGAUUGCCUGACCAGAAGUGGAUGGCAAGAAUAAGCAUAUGAGGAUGUGUAUCUAUAUACGGUGAGAUUUUUUUUUCCCUUUAAUUCUAUUCUGUAAUAGUACAUAUGUUUGGCAAAUUGGUGAACUCAAAUGUUUUUUGCCACUGCACUUUUAAUACCCCGUUGUUGUAUGAAUCUCCUUGUUGACUUUUACUGCGGUUAUUUUCACUCCAUUUCCAGAAAAUCCACUCCACUUAAAUAUUUAAAAUAGAAGUUUUACUGAGCCUGAUUUUGAAUUCUAAAUGAAUCUGAUUUUAAGGAAGCCCAUUGAGAUCAUUUGCCAACAUCCAAAGCAUACUUCAAGAAUAUGAGAAAUUAAUUAUAUGUUUAUCUUCACUUUGCCUAUCCAAAUCCAGUACUUUGUGCAUUAGCUCAAUAGGCAUAUCAUAGAACCCAAAGGCAUCAGUUUACAUGGCCUGUGGUAUCUGAAUCGCAUUGAUUGAAACAGGUUCCAUGCUGUGUUCAUCGCAACACUGUCAAGUUUGAGUGUGAACCUCCAACUUUCUGCUGUGAUAUAUAAUGCCAAGUUUUAGCUUAGCUCUUCUUGAAAAUCACAAAGAGUUGCUUAGAGUUAUUCACUUCCAAAAUCGAGGAUUCAAAUUCAAUUUAGGAAAACAUCCCGGCAUUUAAUGACGUGUUCUCAAUCACAUUAGAGUUUACACAUUUCAGGUUCAAGAACACAAGCACCAUAACAAGUGUGGUUGGUUGUUUUGCAGAAGCGAUAGAACAAAGUAUAUACAGCUGAAAAAAAUAAAUAAAUAAAAGGAAACAACAAGCUGCAGCAAACAACAAAACAUAUCAAACGCUAGAAAGAACAAAAUCCUUGCAAGAAUUAUGUGGAAAUACCAAAAUACAUGAAAAAGAAUGAUCAUAUAGUCAAAAUCCUCGAAGCCAAUUAAAAAUUAGAAGCCAGGAGGGCACCUUAAUCAAUCAAACCAUAGUUUAAUUUAGAAUUCCAUUUUAUGUUGUUUCAAUUAAUUGGCUCUAAAUAUUAUAGCUAUGAGGCUAAAUAAAACCACCGGCAGAGGAGAAAGUUGGCGUCAGAAAGACAAUCAAAUUCUUGUAAUCCUCAAGUCUAAGAAUUUAGCAUGAUAAUCAGCACAUCAUACUACGUCUAAAUUGCCGACAGAAAAUGGAAGUGUAAUAUUUUAUCUUUAUAAAUGUCUUUGAGUGGAACUUCUUUAGGUUACAGGACAAAUCAUCGCAAAUGUGAUCUUCUACAUAUAACCCUUUGUUUUCACCAUUUUUUUCCCUUCUUCUUGUGUUUCGUUUUUUGUUUUCCAUAUUUCUCUUUUCAAGUCAAUGGUCUUAUUUUUUUUAUUAUGUUUCUUGAUUGCAACUUUUUGUGUGCUAGAGGAAACCUAUGCAUGAGUACAGGUCAAAGAAAGUUCAAGGAUGCAAGUAACGUAUUAUAAUUUCCUUUUGAGUAAGGUGACUGUAAUUUGACUUCAAUAGAAAGGAAAUCAGUUGCGAAUGAGUUUGGAUAGUGUUUUGUGAUAUCAAACCACUAUCAGUUAAAUUUUAUUUGAGAAAAAUAUACAUACAAACUAAGGAUAUAGAAAGAAAAAAAAAAAGGAACACUGAACCUUCAGUUUGGACUUUGGACUUUGAAAGGUGUUAUCGAAGCUUUACUAAUUUGACAAACUUCAUCUUUUAUGCUUCAUACACUUUGAUCUUGUUUUUUCUUCGGUAGAUGCUCUGUUCUAUGUCUUGCUGAACCAGAAAAAUUUUGAUGGAGUUAACUGGAAAAUGAAAAUCUAAAUCCAUACUUGUACAUACGCAUAUUUUGAGGAAUUGAGGUUGAUUGUUACUAUUUCAAUAUGAACUUAAGUCAAUUGUAACAUCUGGUGGCUACAGUCGUGAAACUCUGCUCUUUAGAUUUUGAAACAAUGAUUUCACGCAGAAAAUCGUGGAGACCACAUGUAGCCAAUGUGCCAUCGGUCGAUCUGGAUUUAACUUGGAUUAAGCUUCUGUUGAUGAGUUCUUUCAUAUAUCUCAUAGCAAUAUCGGUGGAUGUUAUCCCUUCUUUCUGUUCUACAAAUCCUAGUGCAAUCCAUUUCAGAAGUAUAUCAUCCACGCCAAUUGGAUAAUCUUCAGGGUAGAUGCUUAGAUACAAUAGGCAGCUUUUAAGAUAGUGAGGCAAAUCAUUGUAGCUAAGUAAGAGUACCCUUUUGAUCCUGUCAAGCUUACCACUGCCAUCUGCCUCGCCACCAAAACCAUGAAGAAUCAUCUCCCAUUCAUCUGUCUUUUCCUUGUCCUUCAGAGCCAUAACACCACCUAUUGCAACAAUUGCAAGCGGUAGGCCCUCACAUUUUUUCAGUACUUUUUUAACAACUUCUUCUACAUUUGGAGGACAGUCAUUGCUCUGAAAUGUUCUAUUGCAAAACAGAGUCCAAGACUCUUUAUCAGAAAGAGGCUCCAUCUUAUAGACGAAGUCAAGUGAUCCUAAACAGGACGCAGAAGCUACAUCAGCCAUUCGUGUUGUCAAUACAGCAUGACUAGCGGUAUUGCAGUCAGGCAAUACACAUUUGAUAGCUUCCCAGGCAUCUAUACUCCACACAUCAUCAAGGACAAGAAUGUACCUUUUUUCCUGGAGGAAGUCUCUGACAAAUUCAAUCAGCAUAUUAUCAUCCAUGGAUUCCACUCGGCGAGGGACCGGCCGUCUGAUUUCGUUGUACAACUGUUGGAUCAGGUUCUUGAUGAUGUCCCUGAACUGAAAAUUUUGAGAAACAGUUAUCCAGGCGUGGCUCUGAAAUUGUUUCUUCACUGCAGCGUCAUCAUAGACUUUUUUCACCAGGGUAGUCUUCCCGAGUCCCCCCAUUCCCACAACCGAAACUACUUUCAAUUGGGAAUGGUCAUCAACGAUUUUUGAGAUGAGCUCUGCUUUUGGCUUAUCAAUCCCAACAAGUCGAGCUUCUUCAAUGAAGAGUGAUUGAGCACGAAUGUCAAAAUCUGCAUUCACCUGACGAGAAGAGCUGAAGCCUCUUUCUUGAGUACCAUAUAGGGACUGGUACCUCUGAUGCCUUGCUGAAAUCUCUCCAACUCUGGCCUUGAUGUCUUUUAUCUCCAAAGAAAUUUGAUGGCGAGCUUUCAGAUUCUUUAUUGAGUUAUAGAUCUUUCCAACCUUGCCAUAGAAUCCAUCCAUGUAACCACGAGCAAAGCGGAAGGUAAAAUCAUCGAGAACAUCCUGUGUAUCAUAAGCAACUUCUCGAACCUGCUUUAGCCAUUCUUGGAGUUGAGAAUCAUUAAUAUUGUCGUCCUUUGCUUCAGCUUCUCUGAGGAAAGCCUUCAUGCUCCCGAGUUCAUCUUUGAUGAAUUGAACAUCUGAUUUAAGCCCCCCCAAAAGUGUGAUCUCUUGGUAAAGCAAAGUUGAGAUCUGGUUAAUCAAAAAACGUACAGCACUCUCUGCCAUGAUGCUCAAUCAAAUUUCUCAAGAGUCGGCAGGCCAAGACUUCACAGUGGCAAAUGAUCAAUGGAAAAAGGAAGGUACCUUAUUGCUGCUUUUUGUGAUGCUGUCUCUUCCAAUAAUGCUUUCCAGAGUGCAAAGGACAAUUAAGUGGCUUUCCCUAUAUACAAUUAAGGUCAAAAUGGUCCAUAGUCAAAAGUUUCUCAUUAAUUUUUUGCAAGUGGCUUUCCCUAUAUACAAUUGCACGAUUCAGUCAUUGGAUGCCUGCGGUCCCAUAUUCUAUUCAAUAAACUGUUUUUUUUUUUUAUUCUGAGUGUCACCUACAAUUGUCAGUGUUCUUGGCCAAAGUCGUUCUAUUAUAAUUGCUUCAGGUUCCAAAAACUAGAGUCAUGUUUUAUAAUAAAAAUUGUAAGUGGCAAAUGUAAACCAAUGGAAUGGUUGCAUUAUUUCACACACGCGUUUGUUUCUGAUAGUUACAGCCCUUAUCAACAUCACACUGAAGUUGGCUUUGAAAGGAAAAAACAAAAAAGUCACAUUCAACUUUCGAUUCUUGGUUCCACAAUAUCUUGUGAGGUCAGAAAUUAGCUGGACAUCACAUGGUUGCCCAAAAAUGUUUGUGAAAUUUUUUUUUUAAAAAAAUGUUGGCAUUGAAAAGGGGCAAUAUAUCACUGGAAAAGUUAUUAAAAUUAAAUGUGCCCAUAUUUCUUUCAAUGACUGAAAAUUGAGAUAUACAUAGAAGUGGUAGAUAACAACCGGAAGAGGCUCAUGCUACGAGUGCAGUGAAUCAUUAUUAGUUUUAGUGUCAAAGAGGGGCAAAUUACGCUUUAUUCCCCUGUGGUUUAGUAUUUUUUUUACGUAACCCCCCUAUGAUUUCAAAAUCUAUACAUAACCCCUCAUAAUUUGGAUUAAAGUGUCAAAAUGACGAAAUUUACAAUCCGUAACGGAGUUAACUAAACUAUCAAAAAUACCCCUAUAUAAAGUUGAAAAUUUUUUAUUAACCACAGGGAGUUAUGUAUAUAUAUAUAUAUUAAAAAUGAUAAGGGGGUUAUAUGGUAAAGCACUAAACCAUAAGGGGAUUAUAUAGUAAAAUAUAAAAUCAUACGAGAUUAGAGUGUCAUGCAUAUUAUGUUUAUAUAUUUUGGUCACUCCAUCUAUUUUAGUUUUUAAACAAAAGUAAUUUCGACAUUUUUAUAGGUUCUGUUACAGAUGAUCAUUUCCGUCACUUUGACACUUUAAUCCAAAUUAUGAAGGAUUAUAUAUAACUUUUAAAACUAUAUGAGGGUUAUGUAAAAAUUAGCUAUACCACAGGGAGGUAAAGUGUAACUUGCCCGUCAAAGAUCAAUAAUUCUCUACUAAUGGUUGCUCUCAGAGCUUAUGUAUAUGUUUGCUAUGGCCGAGUUGAUUCAUAUGCUCAUUUGACAAUUAACUUCUACUUAGUCCACGCUAUAACUUCAAGCUGGCUACUGUUUCAACUACUAUUUUGGCAUCUCUUUCCUAUUUGUAACACCUUAGUGGUUAAUAUGUCGGAUGAUUCAUAGAGUUUAUGAAACUGGCCACAACCAGUAAAAUCCAAAACUCUGGAACCGAUUUACUAUUUUUCUUUUUUUGUUUUACAAUUAAAUGUUUGAACUGGGGUUGAACAGUAUACUAAAAACUUAUCAUUUGCUUCACGAGGAAUUUUAUGUAUGUUCGAAACAACUAUUAGACAUGAUCCAGGAACAAUAGAAAAGUUUCAAGUGGAUAUAUGAGGAUCUUACUUACUAAUUUACAUGUUAAGUGAAAUCCACUUGACAUGUUAUAUAAAAUCAGGUGGAACCCUUGUAUUUCAUUGGUUUGAAAACAAUUAUUAGGCAUGAUCGAUAUAAAAUUUUCCUCCAUUUCACUUAGCAGUUCAAAAUUUUUUUUUUUAAAAAAAAUAGAUUAAUUCACGUUGCUCUUCCCCCAUUACCGCUAUCUUCUGUCUUUCAAUUCCUCUUCAAUCGAUACAUGAAUAUACCAUCGGAAAUAGUGACUGAACCCUUCCAUCCUUACUUUGCACUCCCUUGCGCUAGCCAUGUUUUGAUCCAUAGACCAUGUCACUAUAAUCACAAAAUAUGUGGAUGUAUGACAAGCUUCUCAAUGUUCAAAUGUCCUACAUUCACAUUUUAUUAUUGGAAUGGUACUCCCAAUUCUAUGAAGAUAAUACACUAUUAUUCAUAAAUUUUAAUAAAUGUUAGUUUUUGAAAAAAGAAAAACAGAAAAGAGGAGAUUCUCAAAAGUAUCUGACAUCGUAGUUGACUCAAGUCUCGCCAUAUUCGUUCUGUUCAUCCGCUAAUACCAAACAUACCUUUGUUUUUUCAUUUUCAAAUUUCAGCUACUAGAAAUAAUUUUAUAAAGCAAGGGGCAAAUAUUAAUUAAAGGAAAAGUCAUGCACGAACCAAUGGCUCUCUGUGUACAAGCUUAUUGCUCGAAUAAAUAGGUAGGAUGUUAAUGCUUAUACGACAAAUUGUGAAUGUUAACAAGAGUGACAGUUGUUUGAAUAUUAUAGAACUCAAAUAAUUGACAAAUGUACACAUCUUUAGCCUUAUAUAGAACUUUCAAUUAUUUAUUAUAUAUACACACACACACAGAGACAUGUACGUAUAUACAAAGUGGCUAAGGAACUUUUCCAGUGACUUUCGUCGUCCUCCAUUUGGUUAUGGUUUGCACGUGAGUCUUGGUUUUGCUGUUUUGGUUGAGUGAAGAAAGCUAGAAGUGUGAGGCUUGUUUGCAUAUUUUUUUGAAUUAAUCUUUUCUAUACUGACAAUGUAUAUACUAUCAGUUUUGGACAAAUAAUAGCUAUACAAAAUUUAAAUUUGAAAUUCAACUUUUAUACAUGUAUCAUAAAUUUAAUAGUGAUAAUGCAUAUAACGUCCGUGUAUAUAGGAUUUAGUCUUUUUUAUUGGCAGUGGUAAUUAUAUCAUGUCCUGUUGGAGAUUAAAGUAUCGCACUUUUAGUGGUUGCGGGUUUAUUUUGUUUGUGUGUGAUUCAUUUUGUGUAGAGAAUCCUAUGAUCUAAAAAAGCAAGCCAAGUAGGUUGAAAACUCAGGUUCUUCAGUUGUAGCACGGAUUAGAAAGUAAAAAGAAAGCGGCAAAGUUAUAUUACUAAGACACAAUUAGGUCACAUUGAAACAGGUGUUUGGACGCCUGGUUCUGAACUACUUGCCACUCAUAGUCACGGUGGUAAUAUAGUAGGCGUUGACAAACUUCAACUCCAUAAUCAGAAUCUACAUAGAACACUGUCUCAUAAUGUAGCUUCUACAUUAGAUAGCCUGUGCUUUCGAUUUGCUUCAACAUCUAAGGAUAAUGCAGAAUCUCAGCAUAAGAGUUCUUCUUCUCUUGCACCAGUGGAAGGUAUAACUAUUGUUUGGUUUCCUCUUUUGAUUCCAUCUAAAUAGCAUAAAAAGCUAUUUGAUUCUUUCUAUAGAAAUUCUUUCUGUUAAUGCAGUUGAGCUUCCACUGCUCUCCCAUUUAGUCUGCCUACGAUCCAUGACGAGAAUUCUUAUAUACAGCUUGGGCAUGUCCUAACCUAUGAACAAUGUGAUUUUUGAAGCUAGACCCUCAAGUGAAGAUAUAUAGUUAAUUUUUAAUGAUAUAUAUUCCAACCCCGUAGAGGAUUCAUUGGGAAUUAACUUCUCACAGCUUCCAGGCGUGUCUUUCUAAUUUAUUGUUCUACAGAAAUUUUUUAUCAGACAUGUCAAUGAGUGGGAUAUUAUUCAGAUCCAAUCCAGAUCCACCAUAUUUAUUUGGGGUUUGGAUUUACGUUUUUAAAUUCAUACCCUACUCAGAGCAAUACCCUAUAAAAGAAUUAUGCAUUUGAGUAGGGUCUGAUUUUAUAUGAUUCAUACUUAAACCCAAAUCCAAACUUAAAUCCUAUCUAUCUAUAACAUAGCCUGAUGCAAUAUAAAACUUUUGAAUACAUCAGGCUAUGUUAUAGACAGAUUGUUUUCCAGGAUUUUUGAGUUUAGAAACUUGUUCUUUUGGUGAUAAGAGAUUUUCUAGGAUAAGUUCACAAAUUUCAUAUUGAAUCAGACUAUGUUAUUAACUGAUUGUUUUUCCAAGAUUUUUGAGCUUGGAGACUCGUUCUUUCUGUGAGUACUCGAGCUUGAUAAGGAUCGAUUUGGCUUGAUAAGUACUCCAGCCUUAUCGAAUCAAGUUCGAGCUUAAACAAUUUCCUCACAAGUCGAGCUCAAGCCAUAUAUUAGUUGCUCAAACGAGUUUGAACUCGAGUUCAAGUACCAGUAUCACCUAUCGAGUUCGAGAUUCAGUCGAGUUUGAGUAUGGCACUACUCAACCUCGACUCGGCUCGUUUUCAUCGCUUAUACCAACUAGACUUAUUUUAUUGUUCAUUUAAGUCCGAACACAUUUUACUUACAGCACUAAGAGCAUAGUUGAUAAAAUACAGGACAGAUAUAAUACGAGAUGCUAUCUGCAUACAUAUUAGACUAGUUUUUUUUUUAUCAAAAGUAUGAUUAAAAUUCAGCAUAAAAAUACGUGUUCGGGAAAAUUACUCAUAUAAAAUCGUACAUAAAUAGUAUGAACAUAUUUGAAAGUUACAAAACUAAAAAUAUGGAUAGAUUUACUAUAGUUUUCAAAGAAUAUGCUGCUCUCUUAUACCAAUCUUAAAAUUAUUUUCAUGUAUGAGAUGUUACAUUUAUUAAUUUUGUUACCAUAUUGCUUAAAUAUGUAUAAUCUACAGUUAUUAUGUUAUAUGUGACUCUUAUUUGUAUAUAACUCAUAAACAUGUCAUUAUCAUUACUCAAAUUUUAAAAUUUUUUAAAUUGAAGUAUAAUUUGCGAAGAUGAUACAUUAUAAAAGUUUAUUACGUGUUUUGUAUGGUUAAUUGAAAAGUAUAAGUAUUUUUCAAAAUAUUUUUGAAAUGCAGGAAAUAUUAAUGUUUUUUGGAAUGAUACGUAAGAACGUAUAUUCUAUGAGUAUAAUAUUAGUAUAUACGAACUAGGAUAAGAGAAAACAAUAGGAACCAACUAAUACUUCAAAUAAUUUACCCAUUUUACAUCCCAACUUUCUUGAAGCAUUCUCCACUGGAAGAAUCAAUUCAGACAAAUACCUUACCCCUAUUUUUUUUCUAUUUUUUCCACUAGUUGCUCAAAUGAAUUGUUUUGGAUAUAACUAAAAUGGUUAAUAAUUGUAGAAUACAAUGAGAUAUCUGCACCACUUGUAAAACCUACCAAAGAAAUCCGUAUUCUAAAUUUCAAAUUUUUGUCUACUAAGCAUUUCGUCAUGCUAAAACAAAAAUUACUAGGCAUUUCAUCAUACAGAGGGGAAUAAAUUUGUAUCACAAUCACUCUACAAUCAAGAUUAACGUAACAAUAAUUUUUUCUAACGAACAAGAACUUUGUACAAAAUGCUAUGUAUUAGUUAUUAAGAAUUCAUCUUGCAUAAAUAAAGUUCCGAGUGAAUUUUACUUCGUUACACUGAAUGCUCCUCAUUUGCUUAUAAAAAAAUUCUCUUAAGUAAAAACACAUGGAUUAAAGAUGCUAAAAGUACAGGAAAAAAGAGGAGGUAAAGAGCUAGUGUUGCACCAUGGAAGUUCACGUACAUUGAACAUAUAAUUGAAAAAUGCAUUUAUUCAGGAAAAAUUUUGUGGAAAUAAAAUUAUUUGUUAUAAAAAAUAUUCUCAAUUUUUUGUUAUAAAAAAACUCAUGGGACUCCGUCGCAGUAUUCUCAAUUCUUAUUGGGCAUUUGCUGGUUCUAGUCUCAUGUAUAUUAAAUAUUCCCAACUAAUCAAAAUCUACGGGUUCAUUAUUUAGAAUGCAACCAAUAAGAACCAAAAAACAACCCUUCAUAAGUUCUCUUAAUAGCAACAAAUGAGACAAGGAAAGUUGAAACCAUUCUUUCCCAAAUUGGAGUUUUCAAAAGGCAAAUACAUAUAUAUAUAUAUAUAUAUAUAUAUAUAUAAAAGGGUCUCACGCACUCUCUCUCUUCAUUUUACUGUGUAAAAAGGCAAUAUUGCCUAUUUAUCAGUUGUGUCUAUUCGUAAACUGCUGCAAUUGCCCUAAGGCUUCACAGUUGCUAUAAAAGAGUUCCUUUGCCUUUUUCUUCACUAUCAAAACCAUUCUUUCCCUACCAUUAUACAUUUUCUAGCAAUGGCAAAAGAUUAAAAUUGCGAGGGCCUACUAGAUCACGUGAAACGGGAGGAAAUCAAUGAUAUUUGAAAAUCACAAGUCUGGAAGAAUUCCUGAAUUUUACCAAUUGCUUCUAUCUUCCAUAGGUAACAUUUUUAAAGAUUGAUCUUUUUCAUAAUUUUUUUUGUUUUAUUAGAAGCAUAUAUGUUACAAGUUUGAACAUAACAAUUCAAUAUUUUGAUUAGAGAUCUUUUUUGUUUUUGGAUAGUUUAAGUUAUAAAAAAUAAUAUAUUUGUAGAAAAAAGGUCAAUUUGCAGUAGUAUGCCAAUAUACUAGUUUGCUUGGAUUGCCAUUCUCGGGACAAAAAUCUCAUGUUUUUCGGAAAUAUUUCCUUGACACAUUUUCAAUUAUCUUUUUACUUCAUAUACAUCACAUCUAAAAAAGUGUUACAAUAUACCCUUCCAGAAAAUGCAAUCCAAACAAUAUACUUCCAUGAUCAAUCAUAGUAGUAUUGUGAUUAGGAACCUUUUUUUACGGUUAGAAUAAAAAAACUAAAAAAGAAAAAUAGAACCUAAACAACAAAAUUGAUUAUGUGACUUGACUUUCAUGAUUACUUGAAAUAAUUCUAAUUAAGGUGAAGAUAACUUGUAGUAUUUCGGGUAAUUUUUUUCAAAAGUCAAAAGGCUGUUUGGGUACAAAAGAAUAUGAGUACUAAACUAUAGGUUUAAACUUAAUUUCAUUUAAAUCAAAAGAAGGGAAGGAUUUAGGCAUGUCAAUUGGGCCAUUUGAAGCGAGAUUUAACAAACUCAGGUUCUGCUUUUAUAGUUAGUAUCACUUUCGAAUUUCGAAGUAUGGGUUUUAGAUUGAUAAAUGUGAAACUUAUACUUGACUCACAAAAUAUUUAGAUUGUGAGUUUAAUUCGAACUUAACUUAAGCUCACUUGUAAUUCCUUAAUUUCUCUAAUAUAAUUACUAUAAUUAUUGAGUAUUAAACUAAUUUAAUAUCCACAUGACCAUAACAUUAAAACUAUACAAGAACCGGUAAUAGUUCAUUAAAAAAAUAUAUAAACCAAGAAUUUUUCAACAAUAAUAUAUCCAAUUAAUUCAAUGUACAUGGAAAAUAGUAAUAAAAUAUGAUCAAUAGUCAAUAAAUUUUCAAAGAUCCUCAAUUUGCUCGUACUAAGAUUUCUCCUUCUAAAUCUUUUGACAUAAUUUUGUAUAUUUAAUAUUCCUUAUAUAUAUAUUGACAAAUAACUCAUAAGUAUUAUUAUAUAUUUAGAUAUAUAAUUAUAUAUGUGUAUAUCAAAAUAUGAAUAUAUUACAUAUAAUUAUAUAUAUAUAUAUAUAUGCAUAUUAAAGGGUUGAACCUCUAUUGGGUUUGAUCCUAUUAAGGCCCAAACUCUGCUCACAUUUAAUUUGGGAUUAGACCCAACUUCAACCCAACUCAAUGAAAGGUCAGGCUCAUUAGAUUUUUUUUAAGAACCGAGUUCAAGCUGACCAGAUCCCUUUGAUAGUCCUAAAAGGAUUGCCUCCUCUACCAAAAAAAAAAAUCAGUUUUUGCCGCGCAUCCAAUAUGUGAUAAAAAGUACUUUAAACAGUAAAAUAGUAUUUGCCACAAAUUUGCAACGAUUUUGGAGGCAUCUUGUAUACAGCCGUCGCAAAUGCUUUGCAACAGUUUUGGAUCCGUGAUAAAUACUUUUUACCACUGAAAAAUCACAGUUUUAAAUUCGUCAUAAAAGAACUAUGAUAUAUAUCAUUGACUAUUUACCACAGUUUUUAACAUGGUUCGAAACUGUUACCAAUACUUUUUUGCAACAAAUUGUAGCCACGGUUUGGAAAGCAUUGAGAAAGGUCUUUGUCAUGGACUAAUUUCACAGUUUUGGUUCCGAGGAGAAAGGUUCUUAUUAAUCAUCCUAAUUUCCAAUGUUGUUAAAAGAAGGGUAAAUUAUAUUUUACCCCCUGUGGUUUAGUAUUUUUUAAAUAGCCCCCCUAUGAUUUCAAAAGCUAUACAUAACCCCCUCAUGGUUUGGAUUAAAGUGUCAAAGUAAUUGAAAUAGUCAUUCGUAACGGAAUUUCUAAAAAUUUCGAAAUUACCCUAUAAAUACAUGACACACUAACCCUAUAUGAUUUUUAUAUUUUACCAUAUAACCCCCUUAUAGCUUAAUACUUUACCAUAUAACUCCCUUAUGAUUUUCAAAAUAUACACAUAACCUCCCUUGGUUAAUAAAUAAUUUUUAACUUUACAUAAGAGUAUCUUUGACAUUUUAGGUGACUCCGUUACGAAUGAUCAUUUCCGUCACUUUGAUUUUUUGAUCUAAACCAUUAGGGGGUUAUGUAAAAAACACUAAACCGCAGGGGGGGUAAAGUGAAAUUUGCCCUUAAAAGAAAUAUCAAAAGAUAAAUGUUUAAGAUCUAUUGCCAUAAUUUACACAAGUAAAAUAGCUAAAGUUUUUAUUAAAAAUCGCACAAAUAAGUGCGUACAAGUUACCAAAAACAUAGCAUAUAUUGCACGAAAUUAUGCCAAUCCAAAGUGAUUACCAUUUGAAAGCUAAUACAAUGGUCUAACCCUUUAGAAGAACAUCUCUAGUACACUAACAUUUUGGGACCACCCAAUAAAGAUUUCAUGAUUACAAAUUACUUCCAAAAACAUCUGAGAACGAAUGAGCUGGAUGAAUUUUUUCACAUUCCCCAUCAUUACUAAUCGUACCCUACAAAACAAUGUUAAAACUGUAAUUAGUAUCACAUUAUCACCAAAGAAGUUAAAAAGGCACAAAGUCAAUAUUAAAGUACAUCUAGAAUCCAAUUCAUGAGCCCAAGAAAAAAAAUACAAUGAUUAAUCAACCGUGGCAAAUAGUAGCAUAAUUACCACGAUUUAUUGUUGUUACCAACAAAAGUGUGGUAAGAAGUUUUUGACAUCACGGUUACUAAAACCAUGUCAAAAAGUCACUUUUAUACACGAAUUGAGAACUAUGACAAAAGAAAGUGUGGUUUUCACUUUUUUUGUAGUGCUCAGAUUUUUGGGCUAAUUCAUUUCCCACUCAAAAAGAGUAAGAAAGGGAAUUUAGGGACUAGAUGAUUAGAGUGGGGGCUUGCUUGGUUGGAUAGGUUAAUUUGGUAAUUUUGAUUAUGACGUGUUUUAUUAGAUAUUAGGAAUAUGUGAAUUUGCCAAAACUAAUAUGUUUUUAAGAAUUUUAAAUCUUUCUAUUACUACUUCUCAAAAAUUUCCAAAGGGAGAAACACAAAUUUGAUUCUCAAUGUUUGACCUAUACAUCAAACUGGUCUCUAAUGUAUCAGCCAAAACAAAUCCGGUCUCUAAAUUUCUGAUUUUAACUUUACAUUUUUAGUCCCUAAUGUUUGAAGUUUCAAUCAAUAUGGUCUCUUAAGUUUCUAGUUAUAGUUAAGGGUUUUAAAAUGAAAGAAAAGUUGUGCAUUGAACUAAAGAUAUGACAAAUGUCAUCCUAAAUUCCUAUAAAAUUUCAUAAAAACACUUUAUAUCGACAUAAUAAUAUCAUUGAACUUAAAGAGUUUUAUUUUUUUUUUGAACAAGUUACAAUCAAAUGACAAUAUAUACAUAAUAUAUAAAAUAAAAAAGGAAAAUUCUAGUAUUAAUAUAAAAUUUAUUAUCAUUCAUGCCAGUUCUUGCAUGACUUGUGCAUAUAGGCCUUAAAUUAUUAUAGUUAGGUAUUGCAAUUAUAAAAACCAGCAAACAUAAAUACCAAUAUGAAGUGCUUUUACUUAUUAUGGGUUAAUCAUCAGUUAAUUACUAAUAGUAUAAAACAAAAAUCACAUAUAUAAUACCAAAUUUGAGACCAAUUAUACCAAAGGGAAGAAGUAUAUGAGACAUUAGUGGCAUGAAUAAAUGAAGUAAAAAAUAAAAAUUUUAAUUAGAAUUGCUAGUAUCCAUUUAAGACAAUUGUGUUGUAAUUCGUGUCUUAUUUUAUCCUAAUACCCUCAAUACCACUAUUGAAAACUUAAGAGACUAAAAUGAUUAAAAUUUCAAAUAUUAGGGUCCAAAAGUAGAAAGUCAAAAUUAUUAAAUAACAAUAAUUAAAUUUUGACCGUUAGUCAUUGUUGAGUUUUCAUUAUUAUUGAAUGCACCUACUACCAAAAACUUUGAGAAGCAAAUUUAUUUUGAUUGGAACAUUAGAAACUAAUUUAGCACAUAUGCUAAAAAUUGGAGACUGAAACUGCAAUUCUCCUUUUUUUUUUUGUCUUAUUUUUGUGCACAAGUCUGAAUUUUUUUUUUAACCUUUGAUAUCACACAAUGGUCCAAACCGACUGACAUUAGUUAAUAGAUUUAGUUGUUAAAAUGACUUUGUGAAUUGUGAGGGUGGUAAUAUGUAGAAAAAUUCUGUUUGGUAGAAUUUGGGUAAAAGGAAGGUGCGUUUGAUAAAAUUAAAGUUGAAAACUAAAGUGUGAAGUUUGAAUUCUAUAAAGUUAAGUUGUUGAAUUGUUAAGUAUUAGGCUCAAUUUGAUAACUCAAUUUAACACUUAAAAUUAAUGGAUUCAGAUAUUAACAUGUUUGGCACAUUUGGUAACCAAAAAUUGCACAACUAAAUUAAUUAAAUGACGCUGAAUUUUUAGGCAAAAUUUGCUUCAAAAAUAAAUUAUACCGAAUUUUCUAGGCGCCAAUGUAUCAUAUUUAGUAUUUAACAAUUAAAUAAUUUAAUGAAUUCAAACUUCAGAUUUCUAUUUUCAUUUUGGAAGCAAAUUUUGUCUAGAAAAUUCAAUACCACUUAAUUAAUUUAGACCUUGUUUACUAACCAAUUCAGCACUUAAAUUUAAUGGAUUCAGAUCUUAAUAUGUUCUAAUAUGUUUGAUAACGAAAAAUUGAACAUUUGAAUUAAUUAAGUGGUAUUGAAUUUUUUAGGCAAAACUUGUUAAAAAAAUAAGUGAUAAAUUAUUCAUUUAUCAGUGAAUGUGAUACACUAAAAUAUAUUUGAUUUAAUAUUUAACAAAUCAAUAAUUUAAUGGAAUUAGAUUUCAAUUUUAAGACUCUAGUUUUAUCAAAGGCACCCUUAAAUCGUGGGAAAUUGAGUUAUCAAAAAGGACCUAAAUUAUUUAGUAUAAAUCACGUUUUAUAUUAGUAAAGUUAGUAUAAACCUCAUUUGCGAAAUAUAAAUACGAGUAUCAUUUGCCAUACAAAUUACAAUCCAUUAACUCAAUAGUACUGGGAAUGAAACACCAGACUCAGAAAAGAAUGGCGGAAAAACUUGUGACAGCAAAAACAGAAGAAAAAGCAAAAGAAUUGGAAGAAGAAGCAAUGAAAGUGGAACUGAAAACCAAGGAGGAGCUGAAGCCCUGGGAGCAGCACUCUGCUGUGAUCACCAUUCCUCGUUUUGACUACAACGCCCCUCUUCUCUCCUCAGUCAUUCCCACUCCGGAUUCCUCAUCACCUGCCCCAUCAGUAAGGCCCCUCAUCCCAUAUCUUCUGUCCAGAAAGCUAUUUUUUUUUUCCUAUUUUUGUACCUCACUGGCAUUUAUUUAUGAAAUUUGCAUCUGGGUUUUUGAAAAUUUUCAAUUUGAUUGUUUGGGAUAGUCUGGGCAGUGUGGUGAUUGAUAAAAAUGCUUCCUUUGUUAUGUAGAGAGGGAGAAGAGGGCAACAAAAGAAGCCAUGUCAAUUCUUGAAAAGGUAAUGAAUUCUGCUGGUUUUGUCUCUUGUCAGUUCUCUGGAAUAAUGUCAAAAUAAGGAAAUUUUAGACAAAGAAAAUUCAUGCUGACUUGAGAAUCAGGACAGUUAAAUUGGUUUAGUGAACUUGGUUUUAUGGGAUUCUUAAAUUCUGGGCAAGGUUGGGAACUUGGGGUAUUUGGAAGUGAAUAAGACUGUAGCGGACUUGAAUUACUGGCAUAAUGUGUUCGCUGCUAUAAUUGUUUUGGUUUAAGAUGAAGAGUAGCAAUGUUACAGAAUUGGUUUCUAAAGAAAGAGAUGUUUGAAAGAUUAAGCAUAAGUAAACGGCGAAUGGGACGGCGACUAAUUGAUAAAACUGAGGAAGUUUGGAGAACUGGGUGAGCUGUGCAGAAGAUAGGCACAGGCAUGUUGUGUUGUUCAAAUGCAUUAGGUAUUGGAGAGGGGGGGGGGCAAACAAACUAAAGUUGUUUACUGUUUUAAACGUGAUAAAUUUUUGGAAAUGAAGUGUAAUGCUAAUGGUCUUCAUCUGUGAGAAUAAUGGCAAAAUUAUGCAUUUAACACUAUUUCCAUCUGUUGAACUUAGUCUAGGAAAAAUGUUUAUGAUUUUUGGGUUCUAAACUUGAUUAAGAUUUCGGUUUGCUGACAAACAGAAGGAUAAGAUGUCAAUUAUCCUGCCAAUAGGUUAUUAACAUAUGAGUCUAGUAGCUGGUUUCAAAUUUUUUUGCAUAUGAUCUUCCACUUCAUCCAUUUAUUUGUAGCCGGUGCAUUUUUAGGUCACAGAUUAGUAUGGUUUAGUCCUUGUUUACAAGUCUUAUUCAAGUUGUUUUGCUUACACUCUGUCAUUUGUCACUUGUUCAAUCGAGUGACUGCUUAAGUCUGCUGUGCCUUCUUGAGUAAAUGACAUGAUUCGACAUCCAAAAUGCAUCACUGGUUAAAUUCUUUAUCACUCACAGCUUUCCAGUAUAUGUAUAUGAGUUACCAAUUUCCUUGAAUUUGAAGAGGCUUAUGGAUACAUAGUAACCUUAGCUUAAGCUUGAGCACAUAACUCAUACAGGUUAGGCACAAAUUCACCUUACUAAUACGGAACCUUUGCAUUGUUUUCUUUGAAAAUAAAUCGGAAACAAUAGAUAGAAGAUAUGCAAUAUUUUCUGGCAUAAGAAAAAUUUUUUAAAUAUAAAAGCAAUUUAAUAAGUGUAUCGUUAUAUUUCUCUAAAGAAUGACAUGGUCUUAAGUGAUCAUAUUUCUGGAAGGAGAAGACUGUUAGUCCAAUUUUGUUCGGCAUUUGAGACAUCAGAUAUUAUAUGCAUGAAAUAUAUAGCUGAUUGCCAAUCAUCUAUUUUGAGUUCUCAAGAAAUAGAUAUAUAAGCUUCAGUUUUGCUUUUAACAUUAAAAAGGCAUUCUUCAUUGCAGCAGCUUUGGAUAAUUGUCUUUUAUUCAUACCUAAAGGGACUUGUAUAGGCAUGAGAUGUUGCACUCUUCUAGGGCCCAAAUAAUAAGUGGACAAUUUAGAGUUAGCUUAAAAUCUUGUGGCAGACAACUUGUUUGCAAUUGUUUUUGGAUAUAUUUACACCAGAAGCCAAGCGUUGCUGAGGCUUAUCACUAUGUGACAGAAAUGAAUGAGUUUCAGUUAUAUUUGAAGUCCUCUCCAAUGCCUGUAUCAUUUUUAUUUCUUGGACCUCUCUUGUUGCAAAAGGAAGACAAAUGAUGAACCAACUUGGAGAAUGGGAAGGUGUGCAUCUGGUGCUUGCAAGAUUCUAUUCUUUUGACUUCAUGGAGUUUUUAUAAAAGCUGUGUGCUGAAAUAGGGCUUCAAACUGAUGUUGAUACAUUGAUAAAUUAUGCGUUCCAUUCUUUUUUUAUGAAUGCCAUCAAUAUUCACGACUGAUGCAACCAAUGAAGAGUUUAAGGGAAGAGUAAAUUUUAAUAUUCCUGGGAACUUGGCUGAAGAUCGAAUUUACCCACUUUGAAGAAUGGGUAAUCUUUUUAGGAUCUCGUGUAUUUAUUAAAAAUUUAAAUUCUACGUAUUUCAGUAGACUUGAAAUUUAUGGUGCUUUAGUAGCUUAUGGGUAUUUUACGUGUUAUGGGUAUUGGGUAAACUGACAGUGGACACUUCGGCCGUUGUUUGAGACCAUAGGCUUAUUCAUUGACUUUGAUGGAAGGGUUUUUAAUUGAAAUGUUGGGAUUCAUCACCUCAAUUUCCUGUCAUAAGACAUUCUGGUCCCCAGGGCUGAACUGAAGCCCGGUACAUAUUGCAUGUACUAUUGUACACACACCCACAGACCCAGGUUGGUUAGGCCAUCCUUGAAGGAGUUGUUUAAGUUAUUCAUUGGUGAAUUUUUUAUGCAUCUUUGUCUUGGAAGCACUACAAGAAAUUUGGCCUUUUGUGACAAUAAAAAGUUAUCACUAAAAAUAAGAAAGUCGUCAUUAUAUGAAUAUAGUGACGACUUUUUCCAUUGUCACAUCGUUGUCACUAAUUCUAUGUCACAAAUGGGUACGUGUGACAACCUCUACAAAGUCGUCACUAAAUAUUAUUAUUUAAUGACGAAGACUAAGUCGUCACUAAAGAAUAGUAUUCUGUGACGAAGUUUCUUGUCACUGUUUCCAAAAUUUUUUUGUCAUAAAAGAUAGCAGAGGUCAUCACAAAUUUGAACGCGCACAGUGACGACUUAAACUUGUCACUCUCACUCCUAGUAUUUUGUGACAAGAAUAAUCGUCACUUAGUGAACUUACAACUUUGUCUACAAGAGCUGCAAUUCUAUUGCAUUUUCAACAACCAUAGCAGAAAAUUGCGGCUCGACUAAUGCAAAAAAUGAUAGUAAUUAAUGUACAAUGAACCCUCAAAUAUAUAUAUAUAUAUAGUUAUAAACAUCUCUAAAUUCAUCACAACACACAUUAACCAAAAUGGGUUCCAAAGCCCACAUUAGUUCAACUACUAACAGCCAUUAUCCAUCCAAACAAUAGAGUACUAAAUUCACAUUAGUUCAACUAGUAGCAACCAUUACGCAUCCAAAAAAACAAAGUACUCUUUCCAAACAAAAACAUAGACUAAAGCAGCAAUUUGUGUCAAACUGAAGUCAUCUUCAUGAGCAUAUCCAAAAGCCAACCUUUUUCACCUCCUCAAGAGCAUUUAAUAGCAUUGUACUGCAUUGAAAGAAAAGUAUCAUAUGCAUUAGAAUCGAUUUCAGUCAAAAAAUAUGCCAUUACAAGCAUACACUACUGAAUUUGAAUGAAUAGUCAUACUGAACAAAAAUCCAAUUAAGUCAAUAUGAUAAGCUCCCACCAACAUCACGUACAAUGUCACACCACAUGACCAUACAUCUGCAAUCUAGAAAAUAGACAGCAAUUACAAAAUGAAUGAAGACCUUCUUGAGACAAAACUAUUUAAUGAGCAGAAAGUAGGCAGCAGUGCCUGCCUGUUAAGCAGGAAGAAAUGAACUGAACAAGCAUAACCACUAGCACAAAGUUUACAAGAUACUUGAGACAAGGGCCAUAUUGCUGAUUUAGAAGCAACAGUACUACUACUUUUGACUAUGUUUGGAUGCAAGUUGGGGAUACUAGUCGAUCUAGUAAUACCAUAUCACAGCAAAAGGGAGGAAAUCCCAUUAUACUAUCACAGUGAAGAGUUAACGAGAAGAGGAAACUAAUGCUCAGAGGGAGAGAAUCUCUGUAAAUUCUUCAAGAAUUUUGAUGAUACAGACCUUCCCAUCAUAUUCCUUCCUUGACAGGACCUCAGGUGCAAUAGAUGCUGGUGUUCCAACUACCGAUUUGGGUUGUGAGUGCAACAAACCAGACUGCAAGUAAAUGCCAGAAACCAACAAAAUUUCAAAUUAUCCACAAAAAAAUAUGAAGUCAAUUGAAUCACAAUUUUUUUUAAUUCCAAAUGCAAAGAUUUGUAACCUUAGAAUAACCAAAAUCACAUAUUUUAAGACGUGGUGUUGGACUCCCAUCCAAAAGUGUGUUUUCUAGCUUCAAGUCCCUGUGACAGAUUUCCUGCGUUGAGAGAACAAUGAGAUAAUAAUAAGAGGACUCAAAAAGAAUAAAUAGUUCUAAUAUCUCACCAUUGAAUGACAGUAACUAACACCAGAUAUUAGCUGCUGGAAGAAAAAGCGAGCCUGCGUUUUAACAAUAAGAAAGUCCCAUAAGUAUCUCUCUAUAAAAUCAAUGCCAAAAGAAAAUGAGAUCAAGGCAAACGAAAUAUAUUUUGCAUGUUUUUACAUCUCAUCUUCAUUGAAUCCACUAGCACUACAAAUUUUUGCAAAGAGCUCUCCACCAGCAGCAUAUUCCAUCACAAUAGCUAAAUGUGUCGGAGUUAGCACGACCUGCAAACAAAAGUAUGCUUCAAAACAUGGCUCCAUGAUUUUUAUCACAGACAUCUCCCACUAAGGAAGUUGAAAGUACAAACAAGUUUCUCAUCCUGAUUCAUAAUCUAGUUCCAUUUUCUAUCUUGUCAGCUCUCAUCUAUGACCUCAAAGACAACGCUCUUUUCUAUUUAAUUGAAGCCGAAAACAGGACCCAUUCCAUUCCCUCUAGAAAAAGUGUAAUCUGAGUGCCAAAGUCUUGAACUACCGAUUAGCAACCAACUUCGGCCGAAUAAAAAUGUCUUCCUGUACCACUUAUAUUAAGCAUGAAAAAGCAGUACAUGUCGCUACUUUAACAUGCUUUACUCAGACCUUGAGGAAUGGGACUACUUCUAGAUAAUAAGACACAAAUUUUUCUAGGUGUCCCCACCUCUAAAAAUGCUGUAUUUCUUCCAAAAUCUAACUCCAAUUAUUAGGACAUUCGCUGCUUAUAUAAUGGAAAAUAUAUACUUUAUAGGCGUUUAUCAGUUUUAUAGCUAGACUCUUCAUCACUGGAGGCUCGAUGCAAGAUAAAUUUGACAAGGUGAAUCCAUUCAUCAAGAAAACUCAUGUGUGUGAUAGUGUUCAUCCUUGAACUUCACUUAAUUUAAUAGCUGAUCUAAUAAACGCCACUUAAUUUAACAAAUCAAUAGCUGAUCAAAAUAUGACCAUCAAACUAUUAAAUUUGACAACAUCUUAGGCACACAAAAAGAAGUCCUAGAAUGUUAAGAACCAAAUGAUACUUGAGUCUUUAAUCAUCCUCAGAAACACACAUCACCAGGAAGGAGAUGCAAAAUAUGUUACACCAGAAUUUACCUUUUACCAGAUUUGACAGACCAUUUUCCUUCAAACUUCUUGAAAUCACCAUCAACCGUGGAAAACUGGAGUUCACGGUCAUUUGCCUAAAUAAAUUUCAUUUGCAAAUAGUUAACUGAGAUAAAGUUAUCACAUAAGAAUGCCUAGUUACUACUACCUACUCCAUCAGAAUGAAAAUGUAGUUUAACAUCUCACAUUAUAUUACUUGCAAUAACUGCUUUGUUGUCUUUGCCUUUUGUAAUGAAUACCGGCUUUUCAAUGUUGAUGUAUAUAUUCGCCCUUACCCUACUCAUAUCUUUAUCAAAGUUCAAUAGUUAAAUGUUCUUCACUUGAAGAAAGUUUCUAUGUAACAGAUGCAAAAAAAAUUUGCAGCUCAAAUAGCAGCCUGACAUAUAUAGUUAAUAUCUUAAGAUUAUAGAAAUGCUUUAAUAUCUCAAGUUUACCAGAUGACUGCUUUAAUCCCCUAUCAAAUGACCUGUAAAUCUCAUCCAAUUUCUCAAAUGCUGAUUUCGUCCAAACAAUAAACCUCCUAACGUGAUCUCCCAUUGUAUCCGAUCCCUUGACUGCUGCCAUUUCUUGUCCUCCUUCCAGCUUUCAUCAUUCCUUUUCCCAUUUUCCUCCUCCUCCGUCUCUCUGCAGUCUGCAUCUGCUUCCUCGUGAUGGACAUGGUCUCAGCUUCAGAAGCAAAUAAUAAUAAUAAUAAUGAGCAAAACCCACGGAACCCCACCAGAAAAAAUGUGCCACCACAUGUUUUUAAGAAAUUCAUUAGAUUGAUUUGAAGACCUAGAGCAACCAAAACUAUAGAUAAGUCUCAAUCAACUACGUAUCUCAACAUGCAUAACUUUCAACUGCAACAUCUGAGAGCCUAAAUUGCAAAUAACAUAAUUUAGCAAAACAUGAAUCUAAGAGAAGCUUGAACUUGGUGGUGCUGAACUAUACCUCCAGAUCCACGGCCAAAGCCAGGCCUUCCACCAGAACCCCUGAAAGUAGGCUGGAAAUCCGCAGGAGCUCCACCUUUCUCACCACCAAACUCACCAGGAGGUCUAGGGGACCAGCACGAUACCCCUCCCUGUCACCAAAUCUGGGCCUACCCCCAUCAAACCUUGGUGGUCCGCGAGGGCAGUCACCAAGAGGUCCACCCAUAGGACGACUGAGGGGCUUGGCGGACUUCUUAAGAGUAGCAGGAAUAAUUUCAGAGGGAAGAUUGAGGUAAGUCCUCAAGAACUCGAUGCCGUCGUUCGUAAGAUACCAGUAGUAAUGCAUCCAAGCGAAGGUUUCCCGGACGUUCUCCUUGGACUUGAAGCUCUGCAUCAGCUUAAUCACCUGCAAGUUUGGGACAUCAAUCUCGGGAUGCUUCGCCAAAUUAAAAUCUUUCUUCGCUAUUAUCCAACGACCAUUGAGUUCCAAGAGACAACAUCUCUCCUGGGCAUCUCGUCUAGGACAGAACGAGCACCCGUCAAACUCCCACAUUUCCCAUACAUGGCUAUUAAACCAUUCCCGACAUAUAAAUUUCCAUCAAGAUUCAUUUUCAAGACUUGGGUAUGAACUUGCAAGCCAACCCGCAGAUCCAUAGAGGCAGAGCAAGCUUUUAGAAUACAGGGGAAUGUAUAAUAAUCAGGGUUCGUGUUACUCGAAUUCAUGCUCUUAAACAUGAAGAGAGCAUCAUGAUAAAGAUGGUUGUUGACGUAGCUUCUAAUCAUAACAUUAAAAAUCACAACAUUUCUCUCGGGAAUUCUAUCGAAUAUCUGGCGGGUAAUACUGGUUUGGCCACGAGCAGCAUAGGCCCGCAUCAACUUGAUGCCAAAGGAAAUGCAGGAGUUGAGG